AGGGAAAAGAGGAAGCAAGAGCACCACCAUGAAGACGAAGCAGAGGUAGAUAGAUCCCAAGACGAACCAGAAGAAGAGGAACCAAAAGCAGAGGAACCAAAACCAGAAGAAGAAGAUCGCCACCACGUCUCAAGCCUCAGCAUUUUAUGAUCGCCCUGUUUGCAUAUCUCGAUCAUCAAACCGAAUCUCACAACAACAAAUCAACCAGAGGAAAUCUAUAAAGGUAGAGAAGCUUUACACCAACGAUGAAUCAGAGAAUCGAAGGCGAUGAGGGUUAUGCUUUCUUGUUCGACAAGAGAACGAACUAAGGACAUUGAUUUGUAGGGUUUAGAAGAAAAAGAAGAAGAAGAAGAAGAAGAAGAAGAAGAAGAAGAAGCGUUGAGUUUAAGCGUUGAGAGAAACAGAGAAUUUUGAUGUCUCGAUCAAAAGGAAGAGCGGAGAAGAAGCGUUGAGUCGAGGAAAGUGUAAAUUUUUAAUAUUUAUAAGCAAAAUUCAUUAAGAGGUUUAAAAAGAAAAGGAAAUUGAUAAUAUCUCAAUCAUAACGGUUAUAUUAAUUUGAGUUUAAGGAAAUCAAUAUCGUGAUUUUGUUUUUGUUAAUUUUCUUCCUCACAACCGUAACUAGGCCUGGGCAAAAUAUCCGAACCCGAAUACCCGAACCGAAUCCGACCUGUAAUACCCGAACCCGUUUUACUUCGGUUUUUAAGAAAUACCCGAUCGGUUUUUAUUCUCAAUACCCAAUAGGUAUCAGGUAUUUACCCGAACCGAACCCGCAUACCCGUGGGUACUUUUAAGUACUUGAACACAUGUAUGUAGUAAUAGGUUUCCUUACCUGUAAAGAAGUUCAUUGAUGAGUUUAAGUUACUGAGGCAACUUCAUCUCUGUCAUUGUUUUUAAAAAUUGUUUAAAAUUGUUUUUAGUUUUUAAAAGGUUUGGUUUUAUGUAACAGGUCAUGAUGUAUGUAUAAUCUUGGUUAAAUGUUGCCAUCUUGGGAUGAUUCUUCUUUCUUAGUUUCUUCCAUUUAUCAACUCAAAUAUUUUCAUGUUCACUUUCAUUAAUUUAAGACUUUAAGUUAUGCUUUUGUUAGUUUGGUUUCUUAUUUUGUCAGUGACUUGUUUGAUUUUAAUCUCUGGAAUGUUCAAAACUUGGUUAAAUUUGUUUACUAGUAAUAUGUUCUUUCAAAAAUUUGUUAGUUUUGACAAAUAGUUUCGGACUUAUGGGUACUUUGGGUAAUUUCGGGUCGGAUUUUGGUAUGUACUACUCAUACCCAAAUAUAUUUUGGGUAAUUUUUGGAUCUCUUAAAUCAUUACCCAAAGUACUUGUACCCGAAAAGGAACCGAACCGAACCCGAUCCAAAGUUUUAUAAAUACCUAUUAGGUUCCUAAAUUACUAACCCCGAAAUACCCGAACCCGAAAAACCCGACCCGAAUACCCAAAUGCCCAUGCCUAACCGUAACAACUUAAUUUCAAUGUGUAAAAAUAUUUUUGAAUCUUGUUAAUUUUAAAAGAGAAUUUAGCGAAAAUCAAAGAUAUAUGUUUAACCCGUUAGUUAUAUACUAUUAACAAAUUGAAAAAUCCUACAACUAUUUUAUUCACCUAUUCUUGAGGAGUUAUUUUACUAAUUGUUUUUAUGAAAAAAAAUGUAAAUUAUCAAACCUAGUUUUAUAUAAUAAGUUUCUCCAUUACACUAGGCAUGACCACGGUUACGAUUAUCACGGUUACGAUUUAUUAAUCAUCGAUUACGGUUAUAAAUUUUUUUAAACCAUAAUCUUAAUUUUUUUAUAUAAGGUUAAAACUGUUACGGUUAUAUACGAUUACGGUUAAAUACGGUUGCAAUUAUUUGAUGAUUAUGAUAUAGAUAAUAUUAUAAACAAAAUUUUAUAUUUUCUUACCAUAUCAAAUAAUGUUUAUUUACAAUAUGAAAAUAAAGGUAUUUAUAUGAUUCAAAUAUUUAUAGUAAAUUAGUUAAAAAUGAUUUUUGUUUAAUCAAACACAAUUACAAUUAAAUAAAUUAAUGGUUAUGAACCUAAAAAUAUUGAAAAUAUUUUUUUUUAUUUGAAUAAUGAAAAUGAGUAGUAGAGUGGAUUAGAAUUACUAGUUGAUACAUUAAACCAUUUAAAACAUUAUUUUAAUGAAAUAAUACGAUAAAUAGUAACCUCACUAGUUGAAACAAAAAUCAAAGAUAAACAAAUUUUGGAUGAUUGAGAACAGCAGAAUCAUUCCUAUAACAUUCACAAUCUUAACACCAACAUUGUCUUCAACUCAUCAAAGCAUCGCUAAGCUCCAGACAAGCCAAGAAAGAAAAAGAGAAAAACAGAUGGACUAGCGCGCAUUAACCAUCAUUACUCCAACUUCUCGAGUUCUGACAUCCUUUCGAUGAUCGCCUGCAUGUAUAAAUUUGUUGCCAGCAUAUAAAAGUUUAGCGGUUGAGCAAAGGAAUGUGUGAGAGAAAGAGGAAAGCUUAAAACAAAAAUCCAUACCCUUUUGCUUGUUUCUUGGAGCUCCCCAGCAAGAAUGAAUUCAUCGAGUAUCAGAUACACCUUUUAAUUGAAAUCACAGAGAAUUAGUAGCAAAUAUUAGAGUACAAAAACAGAUCAAAUCUAGACACACAGAAGCAUCCACAUAGUUAAACACAAAUGGGGAAUGCUUUUGAGAAUGCUGCAGAUAUUUAUUUAUCUAACGGGUCAUGAUGGUCAGCUUAGAAUUGGGAUGUAUACAAUGAGACGAGAACGAAGAUAGCUUUUGAUUUUAGCAAACACAAGCUUUCAUUUUGUCGACCCUUAGAAGCUUCAUGGAUGCAAAUCUUCAUUUUUCCCUUAUAAACAUUUAGUUCAAAGCUUCUAAGCAGAGAAAUGACGAAGCAACAUCGGUUUAUUCGAAAUAAGUAUACAACAUCCCCGGUUUAUUCGAAAUAAGGGUUAAAGGAUCCAAAAGAAGCAGUUUGAGAAAAUAGAUAUAAAAAGAGUAAGAGCAACAAAAGGAGUAAGCUAACGUAAAAUAUCCAUCGAAAAUACACCUCCUUACUUGAAACUCUAAAAAAUAUGUCGUUUACUUCAAUAAAUACUACAAUUUUUGUUCAGCCUCCAUAACUCGAUAGAGAGAAAAACGAUUAACUUAUAGCUUCUAACAUGUUUACAAAAUUUUAUUUGAAUACUAAUCUUUGUGCUUCAUGUUAUUCAUCGUCAUAUAAUUUUUCUUUCCUCUUGGUGUAGUGCUUAUUUAGAAAGCAAUAUAAAAAAAAUUCCUACAGCUUUGUUAACUAACCUUACUUCACCUUUUAAAUCAGUAUUAUUCUUUAAUUUUAUUUUAUUUUAUUUUCAAUUUUGGUAAAUUUGGAAUAACUUUUUCUUCUUCUAAUUAUUACAAUUGCUAAUUAUUGAAGAUGAUCUUAUAAAAGACGUUAAGUUGGACUUGGAAAAUAUGGAAAUAUCCUGUAAACUUAAAAUAUCAAGUAUAUAACUUGGAAAACAUCAACAACUACCAUUGAAUAACGUAAAUCAGUAUAGACCAUAAAGAGAGUUUGAUGCUAGUUCUGGUUUGUUUUCAACGUAUAUAAAUUUAACAACAUGAUUUAGUAAAUUUACUAAAAAUGAUAAUUUUACUUAAAUUAUAAAAAACCUUAAAACCUAAGCGUUAAAUCUUUUACGAUACGUGAUAACAUGUUGAACUUAUACACCACUGACGGACCACAAAGGGAUUGGAUGCUCGGCCCAGUUUGUUUUCAACGUAUUAAAAUUUAACACUUAGAUUCUACCAAAAAAUUAAAACUAUUUUUACUUGAAAUUUGAUUUAAAGAACCUUGAUAUUUAGUUGUAAAUCAGAAAAAUAGAAAUUAAUACAUAAAAUCUUUUUUUCUUUAUGUAUCUUUUUAUAUCGAAAUCAUUUUUUCUUAAUUUUUUUUUUUUUUUAAUUAGAAAAGUUGAGAUAUACCUGUAAUAUUAAGUAUCUGAAGGUUGAGGCGACUCAGUCCGUGGUCGUUUCUGAAGUUUGCUACACGUAAAUAGAAAACAAACCCAUUCAGUUCUGUAAGUUGCAGACAGGUAAUAAUAAGUAUAUAUGUGGUCGAGAAGCAACAUGAGCUCAGUAGUUAUAAAAUAAAACAAUGCCAAUGGAAACUCGCAUAUCAAAUCAGUAAUAUACCUCAGGUUAUAAAUGUAGUAAUGCUGAUGGGUUUGAUAAUUGUGGGGAAGUCCUCUUGAUCCAAAUCUUCAUGAUAAUAGAGAACAACAUCAAUGACCUGCAAAGACACUAAUAACCAAAAUCAAAAGCAAGAGAACAACAACAACAGAGAAGUAGAAACUAGUAGCUCACCUAUGAGAUUCAGUUCUUUAAGUUGCAGACAGGUAAUAAUAAGUUUAUAUGUGAUCGAGAAGCAACAUGAGCUCAGUAGUAAUAAAAUAAAACAAUGCCAAUGGAAACUCGCAAAUCAAAACAGUAUACCUCAGGUUAUGAAUGUAGUAAUGCUGAUGCUACAUGAUCCUUCUUCUUUUUGAUAAUUGUGAGGAAGUCCUCUUGAUCAAAUCUUCAUGAACUAUAGAGAACAUCAAUGACCUGCAAAGAAGAGAACAACAACAGAGAACAACAUCAAAGACCUGCAAAGACAAAAUCAAAAACAAGAGAACAAACAACAGAGAAGUAACCAAGAACAAACAUACCUCCUCCAAUCAAAAGGUCUGAAACUUCCUUGUCUGCAGAUCCAAAAUCGUAUAUGCAUAUAUACACACACCAAUGAGAUUCAGUUCUGUAUGUUGCAAACAGGUAAUAUCAAUUCUUUAUGUGGUCGAGAAGCAACAUGAGCUAUCAAAUAAAACAGAUGCCAAACUCGCAAAUCAGAUCAGUAUACCUCAGGUUAUAAAUGUAGUAAUGCUGAUGGUACAUGAUCCUUCUCCUUUUUGAUAAUUGUGAGGAAGUCCUCUUGAUCAAAUCUUCAUGAUAAUAGAUAAGAACAUCAAUGACAAAGACAAUGUAUAUAUACUAAUAACCAAAAUCAAAAACAAGAGAACAACAACAACAGAGAAGUAGAAACUAAUAGCUCACCAAGAACAAGCAUACCUCCUCCUAUCAAAAGGCCUGAAAAACCAUAUAAGAAUCUUAAGACCAACAUUGGCUUCCAUCAAUACGCUUAUGAUAUAUAUAAAGGAGACAGAGAGAAGCAAAUACGUGAAUCUUAAGACCAACAUUGGCUUCCAUCAAUACGCUUAUGAUAUAUAUAAAGGAGACAGAGAGAAGCAAAUACGUGAAUCUUAAGACCAACAUUGGCUUCCAUCAAUACGCUUAUGAGAUUGUAAUUCCAAACAAACUGUAUCAAUCAUAUACUCUUAUGAGACUGUAUUUCCAAACAAACUGGACGCAAAUCAAAUCAAAUCAAUUGUAAUUCCAAAAGGCCAACAUGAUUGAUGAACUAAAUAGUAUCACAAAUUGGCUUGCAUCAAUCGUAUACUCUUAUGAGAUUCAGUUCUGUAUGUAGCAGACAUAAAAGUUCUCAACUUCUAAGACACAAGACAUAAAAACCAGACCAUAUGCAGACAGAGGAACAAGAAGAGAUAGAGCGGUACCUUGAAGGGAAAAGAGGAAGCAAGAGCACCACCAUGAGGACGAAGCAGAGGUUAGAUAGAUCCAAAAACGAACCAGAAGAAGAGAGAUCAAAAGCCUCGAUCAUCACCACCACGUCUCAAGCCUCAGCACCCUAUGAUCAUCAAACUAAAUUGUAUAAAUAAUAAAUAAUAAGAGAUUCCUGUUUUUGUAUUUUACAAUAUUGAGUAACACAACAUGGUGGAAGCAAGAGCACCACGUCUCAUGAGGACGAAGCAGAGGUAGAUAGAUCCCAAAAGCCUCGAUCAUCACAACCACGUCUCAAGCCUCAGCAUUCUAUGAUCGCCACCACGUCUCAAGCCUCAGCACCCUAUGAUCGCCGUGUUGCAUAUCUCGAUCAUCAACGAGAGGAAAGCUAUAAAGUUUGAAGCUUUUUCACCGAAGAUGAAUCAGAGAAUCGAAGGAGAAGAGGGAACGAACUUAAGAGAUUGAUUUGUAGGGUUUAGAAAGAAGAAGAAGAAAGAACGGAGAAGAAGAAGUGAGAAACAGAGAAUUUUGAUUUCUCGAUCUCGGUUUGAGUUGAGAGAAUUAAAGAGUUAAUUUUUAAUAUUUAUAAGCGAAAUUAAUUAAGAGGUUAAUUAAAAGAAAAGGAAAUUGACAACGGUUAUAUUAAUAGGAGUGUAAGGAAAUCAAUACCGAGAUUUUGUUUCUGUUAAAUUUUCUUCAUCAUAACGGUAACAAUUUAAUUUCAAUAUGUAAAACGUUUUGAACCUUUUUAAUUUUAAAAGAGAAUUUGGCAAAAAAUAUAUUUUUUUAAACCGUUAGUUAUGUUAUUAACUAAUUGAACUAUUUUAUUGACCUAUUCUUGAGGAGCUAUUUUACUAAUUGUAAAUUAUCAGACCAAGUUUUAUAUAAUAAGUUUCUCCAUUACAUUAGGCAUGACAACGGCUACGGUUUGUUGACCAUCAAUUACGGUUAUAAAUUUUCUUUAACCAUAACUUUAACCUUUAUAUAUACGGUUAAAACGGUUACGGUUAUAUACGGUUAUAGUUAAAUCCGGUUACGGUUAAAUACGUUUACGGUUAUUUGAUGAUUAUAAUAUAGAUAAUCAUAUAUAUAAAAGUAAGGUUUCACUCUCUACUUAUUGGUGGAAAAAUAUUUAAGGCUUAAUUUUUUUUUUUUAAAUAAAUAAAGAAAUGUUUAUGACAAUCAUUCAAUAAAAAAUUUAAUUACACUAUAAGUUAUAAUCAAAUGGCAAAGAAGAUAAAAGAACUUAAUCAUAUAUCAUUCAACAAAAUAAAUAAAUGUUUAUGAUAAUCAUUCAAUAGAAAAUUUAAUUACAGUAUAAGUUAUAAUCAAAUGGCAAAGAAAAUAAAAGGACUUAAUCAUAUAUCAUUCAACAAAAUAAAUAAAUAAAUAAAUGUUUAUGACAAUCAUUCAAUACAAAAUUUAAGUACACUAUAAGUUAUAAUCAAAUGGCAAAGAAAAUGAAAGUACUUAAUCAUAUAUCAUACAACAAAUUUUAUAAGGCUUAUUGGUGGAAAAUUAUUUAAAAUCAUAUAUAUAAAAGUAAGGUUUCACUCUCUUUAUUGUUCCAUUUUGUAUUUAUUUUUAAAAUAUAAUAUUUAUUUUUAAUUAAACCAAAAAAACAUAUUUAAUCAUAUACAUUAAUCCAUACUUUAGAUUCACACUUUACUACUAAAAUUAAACUGAAAAUUAUAUAAAUUUCCAAAGACUAUUGGUUUUCUUUAUUGAAUUCCAAUUAAACACACUAUAAAUUAUAAUUAUAACUCCUCUAAUUAAAUUAUUUUAAAAAUUUAACUUACAUCACUUCUUAUCAUAUAAAUAGUCAUUCUCACAUCCUUCUCUACCAUAUCUCAUAUCUUCAUUAUUCUCUUUGUUUUUUUUUUAAAAGUUCUUGCAUGGGGUGAAAACUCAUUUAAAAUAUCAUUGUAAGAGUUUGAUUAAUUAUUUAGUUUAAACUUUUGUUUUCAAUUUUAUUUAUUUUUUGUUUUUAUGUAUUUCUUUAUGUCUUCAUUUUUUUAUAUUUUUAAAUGUAAUACAUAUGUAUAAUAAUAUUUUAUGCUUUUUUUUUUCGUCAAACAAAUAAUUAUAUUUGAUAAUUGUGAAAAUCAUAAUACAAAUGUUCUGAAAGCCAUGGAGGCGGGUUCAAAAAAUCAGAAUAAAAAGGAACCAUAUUACAACCAUAAGAAGCAAGCACAUGAGCCACUUUGUUACAAUGUCUAUUACAAAAUUCAAAAGAAAUAUUGGAGAACUUAGUAGCCCACACAAUAAUAUUUUAUGCUUAUAAGAAAAUCAAACUAAAGAAACCAUCUUCAUUAUUUUACAUUGGAUGUUUGUUUCUUUCUCACAUAUUCAUGUAUAUUUAUUUUAAUUUCAAAAGUAUGUAAUUUUUUAACAAAAUAAACUUUUUGUUAUAUAAUUAUCAAACCAAUUUGUAAGACAUUCUUUUAAGAAUAAUGAUCCUUAUAUUUAGUUUGUGAUUCAACAUGUAAUAAUAUAAACAACAUAAUAAUUUUUGUUAACUUUGAAUUUUAUACUUGAUUUCCUAUAUAAAAAAAAAUUUCAUAUUCAAUUUUCUAUCUAUUAUAUAUACUACGACGAUGAAAAAUAUAAUUAAACCUAGAGAUAUAGCUUAAAUUAAGAGGAAUAUAAAAACAAAUUAAAAAUAAAAUUAUUCUUUGGGAAUUUUUUAAGGUUUCUCCNNNNNNNNNNNNNNNNNNNNNNNNNNNNNNNNNNNNNNNNNNNNNNNNNNNNNNNNNNNNNNNNNNNNNNNNNNNNNNNNNNNNNNNNNNNNNNNNNNNNUAUUUUUAAUUAAACCAAAUAUCUAACACAUUUAGUCAUAUACUUUAAUUCAUACUUGAAAUCCACGCUUUACUAUUAAAUUGUAACUUAAAUUAUAUAAUCUUUCAAUUGACUAUUUGUUUCCUCCAUUCAAUUUCAGUUAACACACUAUAAAAUAUAAUUAUAACUCCUCUAAUUUAAUUAUUUUAGAAUUAUAACUUACAUCAUAUUUUAUCCUAUAAAUAUUCAUUGUUACAUCCUCGUCCACCAUAUCUGAUAUUCUCAAUAUUUCUUUAUUUAAUUUAUAAUGUUCUUGCAUGGGUUGAAAGCUCAAUUAAGAUAUCAUUGUAAGAGCUUGAUUAUAUAUUUGGUUAAAACUUUUGUUUUCAAUUAUAUUUCUUCUUUAUUUUAUGUACUUCUUCAUUUUUUCAUUGUUUUAUACUAUUAAAUAUAUAAUACAUAUGUAUAAUAAUAUUUUAUGGCUAUAAGGAAAUUACUUUAUCGAUGGGAUUCAAAACUAUUGAUUUCUGACCAUCGCACCAUAAGAAAAUCAAGCUAAAUAAACCAUCUUCAUUGUUUUACUUUAUAUGUUUUUUUCUUUCUCACAAAUUCAUGUAUAUUUAUUUUAUUUUCAAAGUAUGUAAUUAUUUUAACAAAAUAAUUUUUGGUUAUAUUCAAACCAAUUUGUAAGACAUUGAAAUAAAGAAAAAUUUUAUACACAAAUAAAGGUAAUUUGUGUGUAUAUUUAUAAGUUUACACACAUAUAUGGAUAAAUUUUAACAUUUUUAGUGGUUGUUUUGAUAAAGUUUGAAAAGGGGGUAAAUUUAAAAAGUGGUAUUUUUAAAAGGGUAUUUUCUAAAUUCUCCCAAAAUCAUUCCUAUUUUUAUCAUUAACAAUAUUAUUGUUUUAUCAAAAAAUACUUAAAAGCACAAAAAAAAUUACUAUCAAAAUUGAACAAUUAAUCAACGAAUAAAUUCAAAAGAUAUGGAUGUAUGCUUCUAUUGUAUGAUUUAAAUAAAUAAAAUGUAAAAAUGUCAUAAACAUUAAAAUUUAUUUAAUCUAUUUUUAUAAGUAAUAAAUAAAUUAAAAUAAUUAAAUAAAUAUACAACAACCCGCGCAUAUGCGCGGGAAAUUACCUAGUAUAUAUAAACAAAGUUUUAUAUUUUCUUACCAUAUCAAAUAAUGUUUAUUUUCAAUAUGAAAUAAAGGUAUUUAUAUGAUUCAAAUAUUUAUAGUAAAUUAGUUAAAAAUUAUUUUUAAUUAAUUAAAAACAACUACAAUUAAAUAAAUUAAUGGUUAUGAACCUAAAAUUAUUUAAAAUAAAUUAUUUUUGAUUUGAAUAAUGAAAAUGAGCAGUAGAGUGAAUUAGAAUUACUAGUUGACACAUUAAACCAUUUAAAACAUUAUUUUAAUGAAAUAAUUUUUAUUAAAGGUUAACCAUAUGGUUAUGGUUGAUAACGGUUACUUUUUAUAACCAUGACUAAUUUAUUUUUACGGUUAACGGUUACAAAUUUUAACUGUUUUAUACGGUUACGGUUUAAAAAUAGUUCAGUUACGGGUAAAUUACGGUUAAUAUUAGAUUUUGGUCAUGCCUACAUUAAACUUAAAGUAAUGGAACGAUAAUAUUGUGGCUUUGUAAACUUAUUUUUCAUAUUUUAUACCGAAUUAAAGUAUCAAGACCGACAUAUAAAUUAUACAAAGAUUGGCGAAUGGCACAGAGUUAUUAGCAUACCGGAUUUACUGAUAUUUGUAAGUUUUUAUUUAAUCUAAUUAUUUAAUUCGAUUUAUUAUUUGAUAUUUGUAAUUUUUAAUUUAUAUAAAUAUUCAAGUUUUUGUAAAAAAUAAUAAAAUUUUAAUUAUUAAAAAACUUAUUUUACCAAAAUCAUCGAGAAUUUAUGGACAAGAAAAACAAAGCAAAACUCGUAAUCGCUCAUAAUUAAUUGUCGGCUUCAUCGUCCUUUUGCUUCUUCUUCCACCAAAAUUAACUUUUUCCAGUAACGAAGCUAAAUUAAAAUUCGUUAUUAGGGUUCUGCUCCUACUACGCCGUAAUUUUGAUUCCUUUAGUUUUUUGAUUUCAGGGUCGAUAUGGAGAUUGAGAGAAACGUUUCAGUCCCUGGUAAGAAGAAUCUAGUUAAAGUCGAGUUCAAGCUUGGGACAGAGAGCUACAUCAUUGAUUCAUCAAACAAGGGUGAUACUGUAUUGGACCAAUUGGUUUCGAUGAAAGUUGAAAGUAUGAAGAUACUUAAAGAUUUUAUCACAAAGCAUAAUGUUCCAGAUGAUGAUGAUGUCCCCGACCAAAUCUUGUCUGAUGAUGAAGAAGGUGAUGAUGUUGCUUCUCCUGUAAUAUGUCCUGUGAAACCUAAGAAGACAAAGAUUUGAGUUCGUUUUUAGUUAUCACUACUGUCUUGUUAGCUGGUGAUUUGAUCUUGAACCUUUGUCAAAUUUUGUUAACAGUUUUGGGGUUUUCUAGAGAGAAUUAUGAGGUUUUGGAUCUUGCUAGUUGGAAUUUAGAAAUGGUGUUACUGAGUUUAUUACUGGAGAUAGGUGAUUGCAUUGCUUGAGAAGAGCAAAUCCAUUGAAUGAUGCAGUUUCUUAUCUCUGACGGAUAUAGUUGAGUUAUUCAAUAGCUCUACAUGGAACUUCAUCGAGACUCUUAGAACACUAAAGGGAAAUGCUUGACUCGUAUUAUGGUAUUAGGGGUAUUGGACAAGAAACGUAGAUGAUACAUAUUUCCUGUGAGUCUUGUGUUUAGAUAUUGUUUAGUGUUGUGUUCAAUUGAGUGGUAGACUUUGAACCUCUGUUAAUUUUGCUGUUUGUGCAACAGUUUUGUUUGUCUAAGAAGAAUAUGAUAACUUGGGUAAAACUAUGGAAAUGGGGUUUCUAAAUUCUUACUUGGAGGUUGACUGUGUUGUGAAGAGCAAAGCAUUGAGAGUUCAUUAUCUUGUUGAAGAGCUUGGGAGCUUUAGUGAGACUGGAAGAGCUUUAAGAGAACCAGAGGAUAAUGCUUGACUCGAUAUACUUAACAGAACCAUGGUAUUAAUGGAAUUAGAUAAAUGACUGAUAGGUUCUGGUUUAUUGGUUAGUGUUUGUGUUUAUGUGCUCGAUUGAUUUGGGAACUAGUAAAGUCUCUCCUGGUUAAGUUGCGUUUGCUAGCUCAGUAAGUGUAACUUACUAGAAUUGCAGAGUUGGGUGGUUAGAAAAGAUACAUGACUGAUAAGCCAUGACGGAUAGUGUUUGUUUAACUUACUAGAGUUGCAGAGUUGGGUAGUUAGAAAAGAGAUACAUGACGGAGAACCCCUGGUUUAUCUGUAUUGGUUAGUCACUUACCGUUAGUGUAUGUGUUCAUGUGUGCUUAGAUAUUGUAGGACCUUGCAAAGUGUCUCUCUGUAAAGAUGUGUUUUGCCAGCUCAGUAAGUCUUACUUGUUAGAGUUGAAGAGUUGGGGUUGGUAAGAAAAGUUCUCGUGUUGUUCCUGUGUUAAUUCACUGCAAUAUAAGAGUUUCUAGGACCUGAUGAAUUAGGACCAAUGGAAGACAGAGAUGGUUUGGGCAAUAGCCAAGGCCAGAGACAUGGGCUAAUGAAUAGUUCACCGAUGAUCUUUAAAGCUGUUUCAUAAAUCAAUUUAUCAAAGAAAGUUGGAUUUUGUUCACAUUCCUCACGAUUAGUCUUUCUAUUUUGUUGAUAAUUUGACAGUUACUAUAGUUAAGUAUCCUCUCAGACUCAGAUCGUAUAUUUGUGAUGUGAUACCGAAGUUCUGCGAAACAACCAUUUUAUACAGAAUUCAAUGUCUGCGAUAAAUAGAAACCUCACUAGUUGAAACGAAAAUCACAGAUAAACAAAUUUUGGAUGAAUGAAAACAGCAGAAUCAUUCCUAUAUCAUUCACAAUCUUAACACCAACAUUGUCUUCAACUCAUCAAAGCAUCGCUAAGCUCCAGCCACGCCACGAAAUAAAAAGAGAAAAACAGAUGGACUAGCACGCAUUAACCAUUACUACUCCAUCUUCUCGAGUUCUGACAUCCUUUCGAUGAUCGCCUGCAAGUAAAAAUUUGUUGCCAGCAUAUAAAAAGUUUAGCGGUUGAGCAAAGGAAUGUGUUAGUGAAAGAGGAAAGCCUGAAACAAAAAUCCAUACCCUUUUGCUUGUUUCUUGGAGCUCCCCAGCAAGAAUGAAUUCAUCGAGUAUCAGAUACACCUUUUAAAUGAAUCACAGAGAAUUGAUAGCAAGUAUUAGAGUACAAAAACAGAUCAAAUCUAGACACACAGAAGCAUCCACAUAGUUAGACACAAAUGGGGAAUGCAGAUAUAUAUUUAUCUAACGGGUCAUGAUGGUCAGCUUAGAAUUGGGAUGAAUACAAUGAGACGAGAACGAAGCUAGCUUUUGAUUUUAGCAAACACAAGCUUUCAUUUGAUAGACCGUUAGAAGCAUCUUGGAUAAAAAUCUUCAGAUUACCCUUAAAAACAUUUACACUAAACUUGUUCAAAGCACCUAAGUAGAGAAAUGAUGAAGCAAAAAUCCCAGGUUUAUUCGAAAUCAGUGGUUAUACAGCAUCAUAAGCUAAACUUUAAGGGUUAAAGGAUCCAAAGAAGCAGUUUUUGAGAAACUAAAUAUAAAAAGAGUAAGAGCAACAAAAGAGGUUUGGUACCUUGUGGAAAUUAAACACCAAAUCUAGCUCACAGACAUUGCUGAAGAAAUGGUCCAAAAUCUCCACAAACAAAUGGAUACACUCCAGGUAAGCCAACUCAUUUUCGGUUAUAUCCACGCACACGGAGAAAAACAAUCUAGUAUAUUACCUUGUGUGUUCUAAACUGAAAAUAGUUGCAGAACAGUUUUCUCAUUCUAGCUCACAGAACAAUAUUGGUUUCUUAAUCACCAUUUCAUGUCUCAUAAGACACAUAUCUACUUCUCUAUACAGAUAUUGAAUGAGUUGGAUUACUUCUACCUCAGCUUAUAACAACAUCUCAAACAACAACUAAUACCUCAACCAGAGAAACUUCGCAGAUUCGAAUUCGACAGAGCAAUGCUCCUAUACUGUGCUAGUAUCAACAGCCCUAAAUAUCAUAUACAAAACCUGGAUUAAGAAUCAUAUGCAUUCCUACAAUCUUGGUUCUUACUCACCUAAUUUUCAUGUCUCAUUAAGGUUUUUUCAAGUUCUCUAUAAAGAUCUUAAUACUAGAAAACUCAGCUCCAAUGCCUCAACUGAAGAAAUUUUUCAUAAUAUCUACAAAAGCAAUGGUUUUUUCAAUCAAAUCUACCAUAUAGUCUCUGGAGAACCCUAAUCUCAAUUGCGACUUUUAUGUUUAAGAUUGAAAACUUUUAAACCAAAAUCGGCUUUGUUGGUUAAAACCGAUCUUUCUAGAAUUUUAAGUUUUCGAUUUUGAACCAAACGUAAAAAAGUCCGUCGAAAAUACAACUCCUUACUUGAAAUCAUACCGUUUGUGUUCAGCCUCCAUAACUCCAUAGAGAGAAAAACGAUUAGCUUAGCUUCUAUCAUGAUUUAAAAAUUAUAUUUGAAUACUAAUCUUUGUGUUCAUGUUAAUUCAUCAUCGUAUAAUUUUUCUUUCAUGUUCGUGUAGUGUUUAUUUAGGAAGCAAGAUAAACAAUUCCUACAGCUUUGUCUAACCUUACUUCACCUUUUGAAUCAGUUAUAUUCUCUAAGUUUAUUUGUUUUAUUUUCAUUGGAAUAAUUUUCUAAUUAUUACGUUUGCUAAUUAUUGAACAUGAUCUUAUAAAAGUCGUUACGUCGGGCUUGGAAAACAUGGAAAUAUCUUGUAAACUUAAAAUAUCAUGUGUCGCCAAUAAAUAAUUAUAUAAGUAUGUAGAUUGGAAAACAUCAACAAAUCUCAUUGAAUAACACAAAUCAGUAUGAAAGAGUUCGAUGUUAGGUCCGGUUUGUUUUCAACAUAUUUAAACUUUUCAAAUUUUGUAUGUUAUAACUUUUCAAAAUCAAAAAUUUACUUAAAAGUUAUAACUUUACUUAAAUUAUAAAAAACCUUAAACCUAAGCGUUAAAUUUUUUACAAUACGUGAUAGCAUGUUGAACUUACACACCACUGACGGACCACAAAGGGACUGGAUGCUCGGCCCGAUUUGUUUUCAACGUAUUAAAAUUUAACACUUAGAUUCAACCAAAAAAAGAUCAUAUUUAAUUAUUAAAAAUUAAAACUAUUUUUACUUGAAAUUUGAAUUUAAAAACCUUGAUAUUUAGUUGUAAAACAGGAAUAUAGAAAUGUAAUUCAUAAAAUAUUUUUUUCUUUAUGUAUCUUUUUAUAUCGAAAUCAAUUUUUCUUAAUUUAUUUAAUUUUUUAAAAGUUAGAAAAGUUGAGAUAUUACCUGUGAUAUUUAAGAAUCCUGAAGGCUACAGCGACUCAAACGGUGGUCGUUUCUGAAUUUUGCUAAACGUAAUACAAAAACAAACCCAUCAGCGCAUUUCAUAAUUGUCAAAAAAUCAAAUUACUUUGAUAAAACUAAAGACAACUAUCACGAACCUGCUUAUAAAUAUUCUCCUAGUCUCUAAUGACUGAAGAAAACAGAGGAUCGAUGGAGAUCAUCAUAAAGACAUUCAUCGAGCCUUGAGUCACCAUCGAACCUUCUCCACCCUGAAACAAAAGCAUAAGACUCAGUUCAAAACAAAGAGAUGAAUGAUAAAUAUGAUACGUGAAUCACAAGGCUAUAACAUGUUUGAUGAUGAACUAAAAAGUACACAAAAUGGCUUGCAUUUGCAUCAAUCCAAAAUCGUAUAUGCAUUUACACACACCUAUGAGAUUCAGUUCUUUAAGUUGCAGAGAGGUAGUAAUUAUUCUAUAUGUGGUCGAGAAGCAACAUGAGCUCAGUAGUAAUAAAAUAAAACAAUGUCAAUGGAAACUCGCAAAUCAAAUCAGUAUACCUCAGGUUAUGAAUGUAGUAAUGCUGAUACUACAUGAUCCUUCUUCUUUCUUGAUAAUUGUGAGGAAGUCCUCUUGAUCCAAAUCUUUAUGAACUAUAGAAAAACCUGCAAAGAAGAGAACAACAACAGAGAAGAACAUCAAAGACCUGCAAAGACAAUAUAUAUAUACAAAUAUAACUAAAAUCAAAAACAAGAGAACAACAACAACAGAGAAGUAGAAACUAAUAGGUCUGAAACAAACAAACCUCCUCCUAUCAAAAGGUCUGCAACUUCCUUGUCUACAGAUCAAUGGAUUUGUCAGAAAACCAUAGCUAACACUGUAACGCUCACAUACAAAUACAUAUAACUCUAACAGUUAAGCAACAGAGGAAUUCUAACACAGAAAUACACAAAAAAUCAUAUAAGAAGGAGACAGAGAGAAGCACGAAUACUCAUUACAAAACCAAAGAGAGGAAUACUAACCAAAUACGUGAAUCAUCAUAAGGCAAACAUUGGCUUCCAGAUUCAAUGAAGACACAAAUCGAAUCAAAACAACUGUAAUUCCAAAAGGCAAAAGAAUGAUGAUUGCUACAUAAUAAACUCCUAAGACACAAGACCAUAUGCACAGAGAGGAACAAGAAGAGAUAGAGCUGUACCGUGAAGGGAAAAGAGGAAGCAAGAGCACCACCAUGAGGACGAAGCAGAGGUAGAUAGAUCCCAAAGACGAACCAGAAGAAGAGGAACCAAAAGCAGAGGUUAGAUCGCCACCACGUCUCAAGCCUCAGCAUUCUAUGAUCGCCCUGUUUGCAUAUCUUGAUCAUCAAACCGAAUCUCACAACAACAAAUCAACCAGAGAAAAGCUAUAAAGGUAGAAGCUUUACACCAACGAUGAAUCAGAGAUUCGAUGGCGAAGAGGGUUAUGCUUUGUUGUUCGACAAGAGAGAACGAACUAAGGAUAUUGAUUUGUUGAAGAGAAAGAAGAAGAAGUGAGAGAAACAGAGAAUUUUGAUUUCUCGAUCAAAAGGAAGAACGGAGAAGAAGAAAGUUUGAGAAGCUUUGAGUUGUUUAACAAAAAAGAAGAAGCUUUGAAUUGACAGAAAGAGUUUUUUUAAUUAAAAGAAAAGGAAACUGAUGAGAUCACAAUCACAACGGUUAUAUUAAUACCGAGAUUUUGUUUCUGUUAAAGUUUCUUCAUCACAACGGUAACAUUUUGAACUUGUUAAUUUUAAAAGAGAAUUUACUGAAAAAUAUAUAACUGUAAUUUAUAAACCUUCAGUUAUACUAUUAAUUCAUUGAAAAAUCCUAGAACUAUUUUAUUGACCUAUUCUGGAGGAGUUAUUUUACUAAUUAUUUCAUAAAAAAUGUUAAUUAUCAGACCAAGUUUUAUAUAAUAAGUUUCUCCUUAACACUACGCAUGACCACGGUUACGGUUUAUUAACCAUCGAUUACGGUUAUAAAUUUUCCUUAACCAUAACUUUAACCUUUAUGUAUACGGUUACGGUUACGGUUAUUUGAUGAUCAUGAUAUAGAUAAUAUUAUAAACUUUUUCCGGUAACGAAGCUAAACUAAAAUUCAUUAUUAGGGUUCUGCUCCUACAACGCCGUAAUUUUGAUUGCUUUAGUUUUUUGAAUUCAGGUUCGAUAUGGAGAUUGAGAGAAACGUUUCAGUCCCUGGUAAGAAGAAUCUAGUUAAAGUCGAGUUCAAGCUUGGGACAGAGAGCUACAUCAUUGAUUCAUCAAACAAGGGUGAUACUGUGUUGGACCAAUUGGUUUCGAUGAAAGUUGAAAGUAUGAAGAUACUUAAAGAUUUUAUCAUAAAGCUUAAUGUUCCAGAUGAUGAUGAUGUUCCCGACCAAAUCUUGUCUGAUGAUGAAGAAGGUGAUGAUGAUGUUGCUUCUCCUGUAAUAUGUCCUGUGAAACCUAAGAAGACAAAGAUUUGACUUCUUUUUUUAUUUAUCGCUACAUGUCUUGUUAAAUCUUGAACCGUUGUCAAAUCUGACUGUUUGUGUAACAGUUUUGGGUUUUCGAAGGAGAAUUAAGAGGCUUUGGAUCUUGCUAGUUGGAAUUUAGAUAUUGUGUUACUGAGGUUUUACUGUAGAUUGGAAUUCAGAUACACCUUUUAAUUGAAAUCACAGAGAAAUAGUAGCAAAGUAUUAGAGUACAAACACAGAUCAAAUCUAGACACACAGAAGCAUCCACAUAGUUAGACACAAAUGGGGAAUGCUUUUAAGAAUGCUGCAUAUAUAUAUUUGAAUUACACACUUUUAUUGGGAUGAAUACAAUGAGACGAGAACGAAGAUAGCUUUUGAUUUUAGCAAACACAAGCUUUCAUUUGAUAGACCGUUAGAAGCUUCUUGGAUGAAAAUCUUCAGAUUACCAUUAAAAACAUUUACACUAAACUUGUUCAAAACUUCUAAGCAGAGAAAUGACGAAGCAACAUCCCAGGUUUAUUCGAAAUCAGUGGUUAUACAACAUCAUAAGCUAAACUUUAAGGGUUAAAUGAUCCAAAGAAGCAGUUAGAGAAACCAAAUAUAAAAAGAGUAAGAGCAACAAAGGAGGUUUGGUACCUUGUGGAAAUUAAACACCAAACGUAAAAAAGUCCGUCGAAAAUACAACUCCUUACUUGAAAUCCUAAAGUUUGUGUUCAUCCUCCAUAACUCCAUAGAGAGAAAAACGAUUAGCUUAGCUUCUAUCAUGAUUAAAAAAAUUAUAUUUGAAUACUAAUCUUUGUGUUUCAUGUUAUUCAUCAUCAUAUAAUUUUCCUUUCAUGUUCGUGUAGUGCUUAUUUAGAAAGCAAGAUAAACAAUUCCUACAACUUUGUCUAACCUUACAUCACCUUUUGAAUCAGUUAUAUUCUCUAAGUUUAUUUGUUUUAUUUUCAUUGGAAUAACUUUUUUUCUUCUAAUUAUUACGUUGGCUAAUUAUUGAACAUGAUUUUAUAAAAGGCGUUACGUUGGACAUGGAAAACAUGGAAAUAUCGUGUAAACUUAAAAUAUUAUGCGGCGCCAAUAAAUAAUUAUAUAAGUAUGUAGCUUGGAAAAAAUCAACAACUCCCAUUGAAUAUCACAAAUCAGUAUGGACCACAAAGAGAGUUUGAUGCAAGGUCCUGUUUGUUUUCAACCAAUUUAAAUUUAACACUUAUAUUUUUUUUAAAGAAAAACAUUUUGUAUGUUAUUGUUAAAAAUCAAAACUGUACUUAAAAAUUAUAACUUUACUUAAACUAUAAAAAGACCUUAAAACCUAAGCGUUAAUUUUUUUACAAUACGUGAUAACAUGUUGAACUUAUACACCACUGACGGACCACAAAAGGACUGGAUGCUCGGCCCAAUUUGUUUUCAACGUAUUAAAAUUUAACACUUAGAUUUAACCCAAAAAUAAAAGAUUAUUAAUAAUUAAAACUAUUUUGCUUGAAAUUGAUUUAAAAAAACCUUGAUAUUUAGUUGUAAAUCAGGAAAAUAGAAAUGAAAAAAAAAACAUAAAAUAUUUUCUUCUUUAUGUAUAUUUUUAAAUCAAAAUCAAUUGCUCUUAAUUUAAUUUUUUAUGUAUAUUUUUAAAUCAAAAUCAAUUGCUCUUAAUUUAAUUUUUUUUUUAAGUUAGAAAAGUUGAAAUAUACCUGUUAUAUUUAAGUAUCCUGAGGGAUGAGGCGACUCAGUCCGUGGUCGUUUCUAAAGUUUGCUACACGUAAGUAGAAAACAAACCCAUCAGCUCAUUUCAUAAUCGUCAAAAAUUGAAUUACUUUGAUAAAACUAAAGACAACUAUUACGAUUUUACGAACCUGCUAAUAGCCUAAUACCUCUCUGUUCCUCUCUUCAAUAUAUAUAAAUCCUCCUAUAAAUUUUCUCCGAAGGUGUCUCAGUGGCUUGAUAGCCUUAGAUUCAAUAUCUUGUGACAUCGAUCUUGACUGAAGAAAACAGAGGAUCGAUGGAGAUCAUCAUAAAGACAUUCAUCGAACCUUGAGUCUCCACCCUGAAACAACAACAUAACCAAGUACACAACAUUCAUUAUCUAACACUGAAUACACAAAACCAUAUAAGACGACAUACAGAGUAAGACAGAGAACCACAAAUACUUUGUUCAAAACAAAGAGAUGAAUAAUAUAUAUAAUACGUGACUCACAAGGCUAUAACAUGUUUGAUGAUGAACUAAAAAGUACACAAGAUGGCUUGCAUUUGCAUCAAUCCAAAAUCGUAUAUGCAUUUACACACACCUAUGAGAUUCAGUUCUUUAAGUUGCAGACAGGUAAUAAUAAGUCUAUAUGUGGUCGAGAAGCAACAUGGGCUAUUAAAUAAAACAAUGCCAAUGGAAACUCCCAAAUCAAAUCAGUAUACCUUAGGUUAUGAAUGUAGUAACACUGAUACUACAUGAUCCUUCUUCUUUUUUGAAACUUGUGAGGAAGUCCUCUUGAUCAAAUCUUCAUGAACUAUAGAAAACAACAUCAAUGACCUGCAAAGACAAUGUAUAUAUAUACUAAUAACCAAAAUCAAAACAAAGAGAACAACAACAACCGAGAAGUAGAACUUAAUAGCCCACCAAGAACAAGCAUACCUUCUCCUAUCAAAAGGUCUGAAAAAUCAUAUAAGAAUUCUAUAUGUGGUCGAGAAGACAGAGAGAACCGAGAUUCAGUUCUGUAUGUUGCAAACAUGUAAUAAUAAUUCUAUAUGUGGUCGAGAAGCAACAUGAGCUAUUAAGUAAAACAGAUGCCAAACUCGCAAAUCAGAUCAGUAUACCUCAGGUUAUGAAUGUAGUAAUGCUAAUGGUACAUGAUCCUUCUCCUUUUUGAUAAUUGUGAGGAAGUCCUCUUGAUCCAAAUCUUCAUGAACUAUAGAGAACAACAUCAAAGACCUGCAAAGACAAUGUUUAUAUACUAAUAACUAAAAUCAAAACUAAGAGAACAACAACAAAAGCAGAGAAGUAGAAACUAAUAGCUCACCAAGAACAAGCAUACCUUCUCCUAUCAAAAGGUCUGAAAAACCAAUGGAUUUGUAAUAUAUAACUAAGCAAAAGAGGAAUUCUAACACAGGAAUACACAAAAAAUCAUAUAAGAAUACUCAUUACAAAACCAAAGAGAGGAAUACUAACCAAAUACGUGAAUCAUAAGUCCAACAUUGGCUUCCAUCAAUCGUAUAUACAUAUACACUUAUGAGAUUGUAAUUCCAAACAAACUGUAUAACACUGGACACAAAUCAAAUCAAAUCAAUUGUAAUUCCAAAAGGCCAACAUGAUUAAAGAACUAAAUAGUAUCAAAAAUUGGCUUCCAUCAAUCGUAUACUCUUAUGAGAUUCAGUUCUGUAUGUAGCAGACAUGUCAUUCUAUGUGGUCGGGAAUACGCUUAUGAGAUUCAAUGAAGACACAAAUCGAAUCAAAUCAAUUGUAAUUCCAAAAGGCCAAAGAAUGAUGAUGAUUGCUACAUAAUAAACUCCUAAAAAUUGGAUAAAAGUUCUCAACUUGUAAGAGACAAGACAUCAACAACAAGACCAUAUCCAGCACAGAGGAACAAGAAGAGAUAGAGCGGUACCUUGAAGGACAAGAGGAAGCAAGAGCACCACAGAGGUUAGAUCCCAAAGACGAACCGGAAGAAGAGGAACCAAAAACAGAGGUUAGAAUCCAAAGACGAACCAGAAGAAGAGGAACCAAAAGCCUCGAUCAUCACCACCAUGUCUCAAGCCUCAGCAUUCUAUGAUCAUCAAACCGAAUCUCACAACAACAAAUCAACCAGAGAAAAGCUAUAAAGGUAUAAGCUUUACACCAACGAUGAAUCAGAGAAUCGAAGGCGAAGAGGGUUAUGCUUUGUUGUCCGACAAGAGAGAACAGAGAACUAAGGAGAUUGAUUUGUAGGGUUUCGAAGAAGAAGAAGAAAGAACGGAGAAGCGUUGAGUUGAGAGAAACAGAAAAUUUUGAUUUCUCGAUCAAAAGGAAGAACGGAGAAGAAGAAGCGUUGAGUUGAGAGAGAAACAGAGUAAAUUUUUAAUAUUUAUAAGCAAAAUUAAUUAAGAGGUUAAUUAAAAGAAAAGGAAAUUGAUAAUAUCACAAUCACAACGGUUAUAUUAUUAUGAGUUUAAGCAAAUCAAUACGAGAUUUUGUUUUUGUUUCGGUAUUAUUACAUUUAUUAUACAACGGUCAUCUUUCCUAAUUUCAGCAUUUUUGAACCUUGUUAAUUUUAAAAGAGAAUUUAGCUAAAAGAUAUAAUUUGUAAACCGUAAGUUAUAAUAUUGAUUCAUUGAAAAAUCCUAGAACUAUUUUAUUGACCUAUUCUUGAGGAGUUAUUUUACUUAUUGUUUUAUGAAAAAAAUGUAAAUUAUUCAAAACUAAGUUUUAUAUAAUAAGUUCUCCAUUACACUUAAAAUAACAAACAAAAAUAUUGUCGUUUUGUCGACUUAUUUUGCAUGUUUUAUACCAAAUAGAAGUAUCGAGACCGGCAGAGAAUGUAUACAAACAAUGGCGAAUGGCACGGACAGGGCCGAGGAUUGAUAUAAAUGAGCGUGCCGGGUUUGCUGAUUUCUCGGUUUCGUGCGGAAGGGAAUAGAUCCAAGGUUGUGGAAUUGGUUGAUUCGACAAGAAGAAAGAUGGUUGGGAUGUAUUUAUUGACGCUAAAAUUAUGGUCUGACUGUUUUGGGGUUCAGUGGUGGCCUUCUUGUAAUUGUGGGUUACAUUGUUGGUUGCAAUGUGUGGCUCCUUAGAGAGUAUCCUGUUAUAUGUGUGCUAUUUUGUUUGUAUCUCGUUUUAAAGCACCCCAUUAUGUUUGUUUUCUCAUUAGAUUUUUACGGAUAUUUGUUGCAUUUACUAGGUUAUGAGCUCGCGCGGGGAACUGUUCAAAUUGAACAUGGUAUUUUUCCUCUUUAUCGGCUUUUUCUUUUACAUUAUAUUUCCAAUGAAAAUAUUGUAUUGGUUGCUUUUACUAUUUGGUAUUUUAUCAUGUCCUCUAGAAGCUUCUUUUUGGAUCAUAUGCAUCAUCCAGUUUGUUAAAAGAUUCCUGUUUUUGUAUUAUACAAUAUUGAGUAAGACAAAAUUGUAUCUAAUCAUCACAUUCUAUAAAAUGAGAUACAAAUGCAGAACAUGUGUAAAAUUAACACAAAAAUAACAUGUAACUAAUUAAUGAUCAAGUCGUUUCAUGUAGGUUCAAAUUUGUGGCGAAGUGAUCAUAGGGUUUGGGUGUUGCAUCUAAAAUUUAGAUGGCUUUUGUGUCGUGCUGCUCACUUUAACUUCAAAAUAAGGUAUAUGCGAAUCUUUGAACAAUUCAUGCUUUUUUUUACCAAACUGGUAAUGAACCAAUUUAUAUUACAUAGUAAGCGAUUCUAUUCAUUCAUUGAGUUUCUGACUAUUCAUUCUCUUCCGUCCGGUUUCGUCGUUAUCAACAAAAGCUAACCUCCCCUCAUAGCUUAUCAACAUGUCCCUAUAAAUACCCGAUGGUAAAUCUAUCAUACCAAAUUUUUCUAAUCUAACAUGAAAACUUAUUGUAACCCAAACAUUCUUAUGAUAAAUAUCUACUACAUAAUAUAUAACACCCUUGAUGCAUCGACCAAACGUAUUGUAGUCCGAAUAAUGGUUAUGGUUGGUUUUGACUGUUCUCCAUGAUUCUUGACCUGAUCCCAAUGUUAACACACGACACACUCCAGAACUUCUUAAAUAAGGUAUGCACAUUACUUUGUGUUUACCUUCGACCGGAUCAUAUCCUAAAAAAACUCUUACAUAACACCAGCUCUUUUCGGGUUUCGGCAAGGUUAAUAACUCUUUCUUGCUAGGGUUCCAAACUACAGGGGCUCCUGAUACUUGAAAACAGAUCAAGCCAUGGACAGAUUCCGUAGGGGGCAAGUAACAUUGUCCUUGCGGGAAUUUCAUAUGGUAACGAUAAAUAGGCUGAGAACAAGAGUAAGAAGAGUUCUGAUUAUCUUGAGGGAUUGAGGAAACAAAAAGCUUCCCAUCUGCUAUAACGCAGACAAGAAGACUCGGCUGCAGUGUUGAGAAGAACCGAGUCUCGAAAGAGCGGAUGAAAUAUGAGUCGGUGGUGAUUGAUGACCAUAGCUUCGAUACGCAACGGAAUCUCAAAACAUGAUCUCGAAGGCAGCCUUAAGAGUAUUUCUGAGUUUAGAUCUUUAGGAAAGGACGACGGAAGUUUCAAUUGCUUUCUUCUUUUUCGGUUGCCUUUUCUCUUCUUCUUUUUUGGUUUCUCCAUCUUUUUUUUUUUUUGUCAAAACCCUAAAUUUGUUAGGCUGUGUAGCGCAGACCAUUCAAAGUCACUAUAUAUUCUGCUAAUUGUUUGUGGUAGCACUUAUCUAAUAUAUUAAAAGAGUAGUCAUCAGUCUCAAGUUCGCUCUCAAAAACGGAUUACCUUUUUACCCUUAAUGAAAAAUAUAUUUCGUCUCCAAAAAGCCGACUUUUAUGUUUAAGAUCGAAAACUUUUAAGAUCGAAAACUUUUUAAGCCGGCUUUGUUGGUUUAAACCGAUCUUUUUAAAAUUUUUAAGUUUUCGAUUUUAAACCAAACGUAAAAAAGUCCGUGGAAAAUAAAACUCCUUACUUGAAACCCUACCGUUUGUGUUUAGCCUCUAUAACUCCAUAGAGAGAAAAACGAUUAGCUUAGCUCUAUCAGGAUAAAAAAUUUAUAUUUGAAUACUAAUCUUGUUUAUAAUUUAGCUUCAUGUUUAUAAUUUUUAUUUCUUGUUCGUGUAGUGCUUAUAGAAAGCAAGAUAAACAAUUCCUACAGUUUUUUCUAACCUUACUUCACCUUUUAAAUCAGUUAUAUUCUCUAAAUUUAUCUGUUUUAUUUUUCAAUUUUGGUAAAUUUGGAAUAACUUUUUUCUAAUUAUUACGUUUGCUAAUUAUUAAAGAUGCUCUUAAAAAAAGAAUUUCCGUUGGGCUUGGAAAACAUGGAAAUAAUAGAAAAUAUCCUUUAAACUUAAAAAAUCUUGCGGCGCUAUGUAGCUUGGAAAACAUCAACAACUCCCAUUCUAUACAAAUCAGUAUGGAUCACAAAGGGAGUUGGAUGCUAGGUCUGGUACGUUUUCAACAUCUUUAAACUUAACACUUAGAUUCUUUAAAAAUAAAAACAUUUUGUAUGUUGUUGUUCAAAAUCAAAACUUUACUUAAAUUAUAAAAAAACCUUAAAACCUAAGCGUUAAUUUUUUAUAAUACGUGAUAGCAUGUUGAACUUACACACCACUGACGGACCACAAAGGGACUGGAUGCUCGGCCCAGUUUGUUUUCAACGUAUUAAAAUUUAACACUUAGAUUCAACCCAAAAAAAAAAUUAUUAAAAAUUAAAAGUAGUUUUGGUUAAAAUUUGAUUAAAAAACCUUGAUAUGUAGUUGUAAAUCAGGAAAAUAGAAAUGAAAAACAUAAAAUCUUUUCUUCUUUAUGUAUAUUUUUAAAUCAAAAUCAAUUGCUCUUAAUUUUUUUUUUUUUUUUUUUUAAGUUAGAAAAGUUGAAAUAUACCUGUGAUAUUUAAGUAUCCUGAGAGCUGAGGCGAGGCGACUCCAUCCGUGGUCGUUUCUGAAGUUUGCUACACGUAAUACAAAAACAAACCCAUCAGCUCAUUUCAUAAUCGUCAAAAAUUCAAAUUACUUUGAUAAAACUAAAGAGAACUAUCAUACGAACCUGCUAAUAUAAUACCUCUGUUGCUCUCUUCAAUAUUCUUCUAAAUAUUCCUCUUAUAAAUAUUCUUCUANNNNNNNNNNNNNNNNNNNNNNNNNNNNNNNNNNNNNNNNNNNNNNNNNNNNNNNNNNNNNNNNNNNNNNNNNNNNNNNNNNNNNNNNNNNNNNNNNNNNNNNNNNNNNNNNNNNNNNNNNNNNNNNNNNNNNNNNNNNNNNNNNNNNNNNNNNNNNNNNNNNNNNNNNNNNNNNNNNNNNNNNNNNNNNNNNNNNNNNNNNNNNNNNNNNNNNNNNNNNNNNNNNNNNNNNNNNNNNNNNNNNNNNNNNNNNNNNNNNNNNNNNNNNNNNNNNNNNNNNNNNNNNNNNNNNNNNNNNNNNNNNNNNNNNNNNNNNNNNNNNNNNNNNNNNNNNNNNNNNNNNNNNNNNNNNNNNNNNNNNNNNNNNNNNNNNNNNNNNNNNNNNNNNNNNNNNNNNNNNNNNNNNNNNNNNNNNNNNNNNNNNNNNNNNNNNNNNNNNNNNNNNNNNNNNNNNNNNNNNNNNNNNNNNNNNNNNNNNNNNNNNNNNNNNNNNNNNNNNNNNNNNNNNNNNNNNNNNNNNNNNNNNNNNNNNNNNNNNNNNNNNNNNNNNNNNNNNNNNNNNNNNNNNNNNNNNNNNNNNNNNNNNNNNNNNNNNNNNNNNNNNNNNNNNNNNNNNNNNNNNNNNNNNNNNNNNNNNNNNNNNNNNNNNNNNNNNNNNNNNNNNNNNNNNNNNNNNNNNNNNNNNNNNNNNNNNNNNNNNNNNNNNNNNNNNNNNNNNNNNNNNNNNNNNNNNNNNNNNNNNNNNNNNNNNNNNNNNNNNNNNNNNNNNNNNNNNNNNNNNNNNNNNNNNNNNNNNNNNNNNNNNNNNNNNNNNNNNNNNNNNNNNNNNNNNNNNNNNNNNNNNNNNNNNNNNNNNNNNNNNNNNNNNNNNNNNNNNNNNNNNNNNNNNNNNNNNNNNNNNNNNNNNNNNNNNNNNNNNNNNNNNNNNNNNNNNNNNNNNNNNNNNNNNNNNNNNNNNNNNNNNNNNNNNNNNNNNNNNNNNNNNNNNNNNNNNNNNNNNNNNNNNNNNNNNNNNNNNNNNNNNNNNNNNNNNNNNNNNNNNNNNNNNNNNNNNNNNNNNNNNNNNNNNNNNNNNNNNNNNNNNNNNNNNNNNNNNNNNNNNNNNNNNNNNNNNNNNNNNNNNNNNNNNNNNNNNNNNNNNNNNNNNNNNNNNNNNNNNNNNNNNNNNNNNNNNNNNNNNNNNNNNNNNNNNNNNNNNNNNNNNNNNNNNNNNNNNNNNNNNNNNNNNNNNNNNNNNNNNNNNNNNNNNNNNNNNNNNNNNNNNNNNNNNNNNNNNNNNNNNNNNNNNNNNNNNNNNNNNNNNNNNNNNNNNNNNNNNNNNNNNNNNNNNNNNNNNNNNNNNNNNNNNNNNNNNNNNNNNNNNNNNNNNNNNNNNNNNNNNNNNNNNNNNNNNNNNNNNNNNNNNNNNNNNNNNNNNNNNNNNNNNNNNNNNNNNNNNNNNNNNNNNNNNNNNNNNNNNNNNNNNNNNNNNNNNNNNNNNNNNNNNNNNNNNNNNNNNNNNNNNNNNNNNNNNNNNNNNNNNNNNNNNNNNNNNNNNNNNNNNNNNNNNNNNNNNNNNNNNNNNNNNNNNNNNNNNNNNNNNNNNNNNNNNNNNNNNNNNNNNNNNNNNNNNNNNNNNNNNNNNNNNNNNNNNNNNNNNNNNNNNNNNNNNNNNNNNNNNNNNNNNNNNNNNNNNNNNNNNNNNNNNNNNNNNNNNNNNNNNNNNNNNNNNNNNNNNNNNNNNNNNNNNNNNNNNNNNNNNNNNNNNNNNNUAUGCUUUGUUGUUCGACAAGAGAGAACGAACUAAGGAUAUUGAUUUGUUGAAGAGAAAGAAGAAGAAGUGAGAGAAACAGAGAAUUUUGAUUUCUCGAUCAAAAGGAAAAAGAGACGAGAAGAGAGGGUUGAGAAGCUUUGAGUUGUUUAACAAAAAAGAAGAAGCUUUGAGUUGAGAAGAAGAGUUGUUUAAUUAAGAGAAAAGGAAAUUGAUAAAAUCACAACGGUUAUAUUAAUAUGAGUUUAAGCAAAUCUAUACCUAGAUUUUGUUUCUGUUAAAUUUUCUUCAUCACACACAACGGUAACAACUUAAUUUUGAUAUGUAAAAACAUUUUGAACCUUGUAAUUUUAAAAGAGAACUAGAUUUGGAUCCGCACAUACGUGCGGGAUAUAUUUGUGAAUAUAAUUAUUUGAUAUAAUCUUUAUAACUCAUAUUUACAACGAUUUGGUUUCAUCAAACUUCGGAACAUUUGUAAUAAUAAUGGUUUCAUCAUAAUAUUUGGAUUGAUACGAAGACAGAUCCAGAUAUUAAACUAAUGUAAUCACUUAUAUUUUUAGCAAGCUAUUAAACUAUUAAAUCAGAUAAAUGUCAAAAUAUCAAACUUGCCAAACCGAAUUACCUAAAUUGUCAAGGUGGACGUAUUUGAUGUUUUUACCAGUAAAAAGUCUACCCCAUGAAAGCCACAUGAGCAACAUUUACAUUCUUCUCGUUUGAAUUUGCAAAAAUUCGUAGUUAGCAUACAUUUUGCUAAAUUUUCUAAUUUAGACAUAAUACUCAUAUCUUACGUUUGGAUAUUCUCAAACUCUCUUAAACUUUAAAAUUAUCAUCUAAAGUAGAUAUUUACCCGUUCAAAAGUUAGCGCAUAUUCAAAUUAAGUUCUGAGAUUCGAAUAUAGAUAAAAAAAACUAUUUAGAUUGUUAUACAAAAUUUAUCUCUCAUACAUCUUAUCAUGAAUAGUUUGGAAAUAUUUUUCCGUUCCCAUUUCAUAUUCACUGUUUCCCGUUCAGAUAUUGGCAAGGUAAUGUUCGUAAUGUUUCACACUCUACGUACCUUCAGAGUUAUAUUUUUAGAUAUAAUUAUUUGAUAUAUCUGUUAUCUAUAUUAACAUUUUAAAGCAGUUUUUGCAAUAAAUCCUAAAUUUUCAAACUAUUUACAAAAAUGCCACUGCAUUACAGUAUCUUUAAAAAUAAAUGGAAAAUAAUAAAAAUGGAAAUACAUCAAUAUUUAGAAGAUUAAAAUUAUAGUUCUCCUAUCAUAUUUUUUGAUUUGAUUUUUUAAUUUUUUUUUGAAUCAUUAUAUAACACAUAAGAUUAAUAAAAUCUAAUUUUGUUUUUCUAUAUAUUUUGUGAUUCGAAUUUUAAAAAAACGGAUAUAUAUAUAUAUAUAUAUAUAUAUCACUCAAUUAAUAUAAAAAGUAUGUGUUCAACAUCUUAAAUCCGCUAAAAUAUUAGAGAAUGAUUCAAAAUCAUAUUAUACAUAUGAUCAUAAUAGAUUUAAAUCUGAAUGAGCAGAAAGUUUCACUUAAUAAGCAUCCAAACUUUAAAAUUUGUAUAUCAAUUCAUUCGAUUUAGGUGAAUUGGGUAAUGUUUAAAAUAUGUUUCUUUUGAAAAUAUAAUUUGUUUAAAAUAUGUUUCCUUUGAUUGAUUUCACUUAAUAAGCAUCCAAACUAUAAAAUAUGUUUACAAAUACACAAUUUCUAAUUUAAUAGGCCUCAUUUUAUGGUAACAAAUUUAUUAUGAUUUCCAUGAAUCUGUGUUAGUUAUUAGAUUUGAUUUUUUUAAAAUAUUUUAAAGCAUAUUUAUUUGAGAAAUUGAUACAAAUAACCUUUUUAUGAUACCCUCUUUUAAAAAUAUCCUCUUUUUUUACCAUUUUCAUUUUUGCCCUCUCUUAUAUUUUAAUGGCCAUUUUACCCCUAUUUGAAAGAAUAUUCUUUCCCAAAGGAAGGAAUAUUCCAUCCAAAAAUUUUCCCCCCAAAUAUUUCCCGCCAAAAACUUUCCCGCCAAAAUUUUCCCGCCAAAAAAGUUUCCGAGAAAAAUUUUCCCGCCAAAAAAAUUUCCGCAAAAAAUUUCCCGCAAAAAAAAAUAUUUUUUCAAAAUUUUCCCGCCAAAUUUUUUAAAGGGUUUACAAGAUUUUUUAAAGGGUCUUUUAAAGGGUUUACAAGGGUUUUUAAAGGGAUUCACAAGAGUUUUUAAAUGGUUUUUAAAAGAUUUGUAAUGGUUUUUAAAGGGUUUUAGAAGCCUACAAAGGUUUUCAAAUGGUUUUUAAAUGAUUUACAAUGGUUUAUAAAAGUUUUUAUUAGUUUAUAACAGUUUUAAAAGGAUUUACAAGGAUUUUAAAAGGUUUUUAAAAAUUUACAAGGAUUUUUAAAGGUUUUUUAAAAGGAUUUAAAAGUGUUUUUAAAAGAAUUUAAAAGUGUAUUUAAAGGCAUACAAAGAUUUAAAAAUAGCUUCAAAGGAUUUACAAGAAGUUUUAAAGGGUUUUAGAAGUUUACAAAGGUUUUUGAAGGGUUUACAAAAGUUUUUAAAGGUAUUACAAGUUCUUUAAAAUGGGUUUUAAGGAUUUACAAGGGUUUUUAACGGGUUUUAGAAGUUUACAAAAGUUUUUAUUAAAUGAUUUAUCACGGUUAUAAGUGGUUUAAAGGGAUUUACAAGUGUUUAUAAAUGUUAUAAAAUGAUUUACAAUGGUUUUAAAAGGUUUACUCAAGUUUUGAAAGGUUUUGGAUUACUUUUAAAAGAUUUACAACGGUUUUUAAAGGAUUUUUUAAGGGAUUUAUAAAUAUUUACAAGGUUUUUUUAAGAAAUUGCGGAAAAAUUUUGGCUGAAAAUUUUUGGCGGGAAAAUUUUUGUCGGAAUUUUUUUUGGCGGGAAUUUUUUUUUGGCGGGAAAAUUUUUUGUCGAAAUUUUUUGACGGGAAAUUUUUUUCCGAAAAUUUUUGGCGGGAAAAUUUGGCGGGAAAUUUUCCGGAAGGAAUAUUCUUUUUGUUGGAAUAAUAUUCAUUUUUUCAUCAUGGGUUAUAAUAAAAGAGGGUAUUUUGAAAAUGAGCACCUAGAGAGGGUACUUGUAGAAAAUGGUAUCAUAAUAAAGGUUAGUUGUAAAAAUCUCCCUUGAUUAAUUUCACUUAAUAAGCAUCCAAACUAUAAAAUAUGUUUACAAAUACACAAUUUCUAAUUAAACAUGCCUCAUUUUAUGGUAACAGAUUUAUUAUGAUUUCCAUGAAUCUGAGUUAGUUAUUAGUUUUGAUUUUUUUAUUUUAUUUUAAAGCAUGUUUAUUUUAAUUGAAAAUAUAUUUUGCUGUCUUCAAGAUAUUUGAAAAUUUUAAUUUAUAAUUUAAUAAUGCUUAAACUUAAAAGAAUUUAAUUGAGUAUAAAUAUUUAUAAUAUUUUCAACUUUACAUGUAGUUGAUAUUUUACAACUUUACAUAUAAUAUUUUAAAACCUUUUAACAGAGUAAAUAUUAAUAAUACCUAAACUUUUAUAGAAUUUAAAUAUUUAUAGUAUUAUUAUCUUUCCUUGGACCUAAUUUAUUUUAAACGUUUAUUUACCUAAUUUAAACUGUUUACAUAUAUACAAUUUAAAAUACUAUACAUAUCAGUUUAUUUUAAAAGUUUCGAAAUUUUUUAAAUUAAAAUGUUUUGAAUUGUAUUAGUUUAAAUUAGUUAAAAUAAACGUUUAAAAUAUGUUUUCUAUAAUACAGUUCUAGUAACAGUUACAUUCUCCAUCCGCUUCACAGUUGAGACAUAUAUCAAAGAUGGAAGAAAACCAUGAUAUGCUGGCUCUGUCUCUAAGUGUAACACCAGUCAAUAGAACCGUCUCACAGAAACCCCCGAUGAUGCCUCUAGGCUUGGUUUCUCCAUAUCAUCAACAAGCACUUAACAUCAACCAUAUGUUACAGAACCAGGUGACAAGAGAUUUGUGUACUCAGUUACGUAAUGUGGAGGAAAGAGCUGUCUAUUUCAUGAAAGUAAAGGACAAAACCAUCGAAGAUAUGAAGAAACAGUCUGGAGAAAUGGAACUUCGCCUGAGAAAAGCAUUGUCGGAAGCCGAGUUCUGGAAGAAGCAGUCGGCUGAGAAAACAGAACUGUGCAGAGAUCUUGCCGGGAAGCUAUUGCAAGUGAGAAAGAGAGAAAAGUCGAAGAAAGUUAUUCCGGAGCAGAACGAGGCGGAAGAGGCUGAGUCGUCCACUGGUGAUAAUGGAGAGGAUGAUUUAAACACAGCAAGUAUUCGUUUAUGCAAACGUCGCCGUCUUUGAAAUUGGCGCGGGGUUUUAAGGCACGAAUGUUUUUGUUUGUAUGGACAUGGACGUGUGGUCAAAUGUUCCCACUUCCUAUAGUUGUUAUAUAUAUUCGAUGUUGUAUGGGGAGGGAACCUUGAACAUGAUUGUAAUCAUUCUAAAUAUAAAACAUGUCUAAUUUCUGUUACAUAUUAUUUUGUAAAACGCAUAACUUUGAAUUAUAGUUAUAUGAUAUUGCCUUUGUGAAGAAAAAAAAAAAAAACGUUUAAAAUAUUAUAUAAUCUUAAAAUUUUCGAAUUUAAUAGGCCACAUUUUAUGGUAACAAAUUUAUUAUGAUUUCUAUGAAUAUUGGUUAGUUAUUAGUUAGACUUUUUAUUUAUUGUAAAGCAUAUUUUUUCAUUUGAAAAUCUGUCAUUAAUUUUGUUUGGAUAUAGGUUUAGGAUUACAUUUUAUUUCAUUUUACUAUUUAAUCUGUUUGGAUACACUUUUAAAAAAUGCUUCCCUUUAAAUAGUAUAGAUUUACUGAAAAAGAUAUGACCGUAAUUUGUAAACCGUCAGCUAUACUAUUAAUUCAUUGAAAAAUACUAUAACUACUAGAUUUUAACCCGCGUGACGACGUUUUAAAAUGUAUUCUUUUUAUUAAUUUUGUGAGUAUAUAAGAGUGUACUACUAUAUUUUGAUUGUUAAUUCUAUGAUUUAACCCGUAGAAUAUUAUAUGAUAAUUUAUUUUUUAUAUAAUAGUAAUUUUAUCAAAUUAAUUAAAUAAGUAUAAUAUUUAAAGUAAUCAAAUGAUAUUGACAUAAUAUUCGUUUACAUAGUAUAAUUUCAUAUUAAAAUAUUUUGUGAGUUAUACUAUAGUAGACAACCCGUAAAAAUAUCUAUAAUCAUAAUUAUGUAAAUUAUAACUCGUUCCAUCACAUGAUCCGUGCUUCACAAUUAUCAAUAUUACUUUAGUACAUCCAUAUUUUUGUAUCGUUUGAGUAAUACAUCCGUAUCUAAAAAUUCAAAUUGCAACAUAUGCAAAAAAUGUUUUUUUAUAUUUUUACUAUACAUAUGUUUAUGUAAUAAUAUAAACUUAAAAACAAAUAAGGUCAUAUAAAGAUAUUGGAGAAAUAUUUGAUUUAUUAGGGAGAGAUUUUAGGAAACUUUGUUAAAUGUAGUAAAAAUUGAUUUCUAAUUUUGCAAUUUUAUUAUGAUUUAAUUACAAAAUUUAUCUUAAAAUUUUACUAUUUAAUCAAAUGGGAAGGGUUUAAUUAUGAAAAUAUAACAAAAUAAAAGGGUAGAACACAAAAGGUACUUCAAAAAUGUUAAUAUAGAUUUUAUUGACCUAUUCUUGAGGAGUUAUUUUAUAAUUUUUCUAUGAAAAAAUGUAAAUUAUCAUAUAAAUUAAUAAUGAUAUUGGGAUCAAGAAAUUCUAUGAAUUUAUAGAGGUAUUAAUAAAAAUAAUUUCCUAAUUUGGUAAUUUUUUUUAAAAUAGAUACAUCAAAACUAAGAUUUAGUCAUUAUAAUCAAUAAUUUUUUAGAACCAAAUACACCAAAAACAAUAAAUCAUCAUGAAUGAAUAAAACACUAUGAUUUUUUUGAUACAUGAAAUCUAUUAGAAUUGGAUUCUAAGAAAAAUUAAUAUAAAUUUGAGAAAAUAUUUACAAAAGAUUUUCAAAAAUAUUAUUAUCUUAUUAUUUUAUCGGAAUGUGUUUAAAAUUACAAUGGUCCCAACUUGGGACCGAGAAAAUUUAUUAAAUUAUAAAAUUUAUUAAUUUAUCGAGUAUUAAUUUAUCGAGUAUUAAUUUAUAGAGGUUUUAAUGUAAUUAGUUUUUCCAUUAUGCUUAAAAUAAUGGAACGAAAAUAUUGUGGCUUUUUAGACUUAUUUUGCAUAUUUUAUACCAAAUUGAAGUAUCGAGACCGGCAGAGAAGUUGUACAAAGAGUGGUGAAUGGCACGGAGUUAUCAGCGUACCAGGUAUGCUGAUAUUUGUAAGUUUUUAUUUAAUCUAAAUAUUUAAUUCGAUUUAUAGAGAAUUUUUGAGAAAUACCCCUUUUCGUGUACCUCUUUUUAAAAAUACUCCCUUUAUCUAUCCAUUUUCAAAAAUACCCCUUUUUAAAUAUAAAAAAAUUAUAAAGUUUUAUAUAGUUUAUAAGGUACUUCUAUAUAAUAACUACUACUGGGAGAUUCGAUACAAAUGUUUUAAAAUGUUCUAAAUAGUUUUAAAUCGUUUUUAUAAGUUUUAUAAGGUUUUUAAAAGGUUUUUAAAAGGGUUUAUACGGUUUUAUAAGGUUUUUAUAAGGUUUUUAUAAUUUAUUUUUACGCUAUUUAUGAAAGGUAUAUAAAGUUUUAUAUACAUAUAAAGGUAAUUUGUGUAUAUAUUUAUAAGCUUACACACAUAUUUGGAUAAAUUUCAACAUUUUUAUUGAGUUUUUUGAUAAAGUUUGAAAAAGGGGUAUUUUUUAAAAGAGGUAUAUGAAAAGGGGUAUUUUUGAAAUUACCCCUUAUAUUAUUUGAUAUUUGAAAUUUUUAAUUUAUAUAAAUAUUCAAGUUUUUGUAAAGUAUAAUGAAAUUUUAAUUAUUAUAAAAUUUAUUUUACCAAAAUAUCGAGAAUUGAUGGACACGAAAAAAAAACAGGGUAUUCAACUAUUCAUAUAAAAAAAAUAUAGAAAAAAGGUUCUUCGGGUAAUUUAUUAUAUAAACAAGUUUUAUAUAAUAAGUUUCUUCAUUACGCUUAAAAUAAUGGAACGAAAAUAGUGUCGCUUUGUAGACUUAUUUUGCAUAUUUUAUACCAAAUAGAAGUAUCGAGAUAGGAAGAGAAUAUAAUGUAUACAAACAGUGGCGAAUGGCACAGACAGGGCCGUAGGUUGAUAUAAAUGAGCGUACGGGGUUUGCUGAUUUCUCGGUUUCGUGCGUAAGGGAAUGAAUCCAAAGUUGAGGAAAUGGUUGAUUCGAUAAGAAAGAAGAGAAUUGAUAUGCAUUUUAGAGACGUUAGAAAUAUGUUUGAUAUUAUUGGGGAUGACUAUUAAUAGAUUAUACAACUGGAUCUUGUAAUUAAUAAAGACUAAUAUAAGUUUCAAAAAGAGCUGAUGAUUUGUCAAAAUUUUAAGCUAUGAGCUCAUGUGUUACAUAUCUUUUUGCGGUAAAAAAUCAUAUUUUCACUAUCUUGCUGAACCUGACAAGUGACAAUGUUUUCUUUAUUUAAUAAGUGCUCAUGUCCUCCAAAAUCUUCCAAAUUUUUCAGGAAGAUUUUGUUGGUAUUCUUCAUUUGCUCCAAACUGAAUCUUAGUCGAACAGCUUUGAGCCUUCCUUUAUGGCUCUGGCUCGGGUUUUGUUGUAAGUAACUAUUUGUGUACAAGUUAACUAAUCUCAAGCGAGGGCCAAAAGAUUUGAGGUUCAAGUAUACUUGGACUAUUAUCCCGAUGAGUUCCAAUAUAUUAUGCCGACUUUCGAUCCUCCAAAAAAAAUCAUUAGCAUUGAAAGUAUUAGACCCUUCAUGGUUUUUUGUGUAUUUGGCUUGUAUUUUGAACAAUAUUUAUUCCCUCCCUAUCUUGGAGCUUUUGGCUAAAGAGUAUUCAUUCCAGCAAAUUUAUGUUUUUUAAUCUUCAAGUGAACUAGGUCUGCCAGUUCGGAUUCUUGGGUCGGUUAUCUUUGAACUCACAUACAUACAUUAUCUUUCUUUUGCAAGUUCUAUCUAUAUAGAAUUUGAUAUGAACUUUUGUAAUAUGUUAAGCAUCGGAGUGGAUGUGUGAAGAAAAGAUCUUUAAUAUUUUUUCGAAAGACUAUGCAGCUCAGCUUCAACUGGUUGAUACUAUGCUUGGUUUGGAAGAAGCGGAGAAGUUCUUCAAAACCAUCCCCGAAAACAUGAGGGAUUACUUUGUCUACAACAGUCUCUUGAAAUCUUACACUAAAUCUGUGAAAUCACAUGAUAAGGCUGAGGCCACAUUUGAGAAGACAAAAACAAAACAAAACAAAACAAAAAUCAUAAAGUUGAAUAAAUUAAAACUACAGGGGCUCCUGAUACUUGAAAACAGAUCAAGCCAUGGACAGAUUCCGUAGGGGGCAAGUAACAUUGUCCUUGCGGGAAUUUCAUAUGGUAACGAUAAAUAGGCUGACAACAAGAGUAAGAAGAGUUCUGAUUAUCUUGAGGGAUAGAGGAAACGAAGAGCUUGCCGUAUGCGAUAUAGCAUACGAGAAGACUCGGCCGCAGUGUUGAGAAGAAUCGAGUCUCGAAAGAGCUGAUGAAAUAUGACCAUAGCUUCGAUACGCAACGGAAUCUCAAAACAGAUCUCGAAGGCAGCCUUAAUAGUAUUUCUGAGGUUAGAUCUUUAGGAAAAGACGACGUUUUUCGGUUCCUCUUUCUCUUCUUCUCUUUUGGUUUCUCCAUUUUUUUUUUCGGUUGUCAAAACCCUAAAUUUGUUAGGCUGUGUAGCGUAGACUAUUCAAAGUCCCAAUAUAUAUUCUGCUAAUUGUUUCUGGUAGCACUUAUCUAAUAUAUUAAAAAAGUAGUAUGGAGGCUUACGUUCGCUCUCAGAAACGGAUUACAUUUUUAUCGUUAAUGAAAAAUAUCUCUCGUUUCCAAAAGCAGACUUUUAUGUUUAAGAUCGAAAACUUUUAAAUACAACUCCUUACUUGAAACCCUACCGUUUGUGUUUAGCCUCCAUAACUCCAUAGAGAGAAAAACGAUUAGCUUAGCUUCUAUCAUGAUUAAAAUUUUAUAUAUUUUAAUACUAAUGAUAUGAUCGUGGCUAGCACGGAGCAAGAGGCUACAGAGAAACCGGAGAUGGUGGGAAGGAUCACUCAUUCAAGAGCUAAGGAGAUGGCCAAGGAAGCACACGCAUUCAUAGCUGACGGGUCAUUCAACCUACCAAGGAUCCAAGUCUUCAACAUAUCUAACCUGAAGACUUCACCCGGUGAUGAGGACUAGGUAACUUAGGUGAGAAGUUUGUACUCUUUUUCCCAUAGCUGAGUUUUGUCCCAAUGGGUUUUCUCAGCAUGGUUUUUAAUGAGGCAAAUGGAUCACUACGUCGAGUUAUCUAGAAAUCAUUACCAAAGGGGAAUAAUGUACUUCUGUACUACUACAGGUCGUCAAGCUUCUGUACUAGUUCAGCCGACUUCUGUACUACUACAGGGCGUCGGGAAAUCUUGUUGUUUUUAUUAUUUCCUUAAAACAUGUUGUUGUUUUGGUUUUGAACUUCUUGUUGUUUGGAGUGUCGUGCCCUAGGGUAUUUAAAACCCAAAGCUACGCCUCUUUUCUCUUUAGCGAAGAAGUUGUAUGAACAAGUAUUGUCACACUUUUUCUCUCAAUUCGAAUUCUUGAAUGCGUUCUAGAUUUCCGGGUUUCUAUACACUUUAUGAUUCAGAAACUCUUCAUUGUUACAAUCCAUACAACCACCUAAACAUCUAUCUCCAUCAAACCAUUGUUUCAUCAUUCAAUCUUCUCAAAUCAUCACUCACGUUCAUCGCCCAUCAUCAUCAACAAACUCACGUCGCCUAUCACCUAUCUUCAGCCUUCAUCGGAGUUCUAUCCUAGGGAGAUCAUAUUAACUAAUCUUUGUGUUUCAUGUUAUUCAUCAUCAUAUAAUUUUUCUUUCGUGUUCUUGUAAUGCUUAUUUCGAAAGCAAGAUAAACAAUUCCUACAGCUUUGUCUAAGCUUACUUCACCUUUUGAAUCAGUUAUUCUCUAAGUUUAUUUGUUUUAUUUUCAUUGGAAUAAAUUUCUAAUUAUUACGUUUGAUAAGUAUUGAAGAUGAUAUUAAAAAGACGUUAAGUUGUACUUGGAAAAUAUGGAAAUAAUGGAAAUAUCAUGUAAACUUAAAAUAAAUAAUUAUAUAAGUAUGUAGUUUAGAAAACAUCAACAAAUCCCAUUGAAUAACACAAAUUAGUAUGGACCACAAAGAGAGUUCGAUGCGAGAUCCAGUUAGUUUUCAACAUAUUUAAAUUUAACACUUAGAUUUUUUAAAAUAAAAACAUUUUGUGUGUUGUUGUUAUAAAUCAAAACGUUACUUAAAAAUUAUAAUAACUUUACUUUAAUUUUAAAAAAACUUGAAACCUAAGCAUUAAAUUUUUUACAAUACGUGAUAACAUGUUGAACUUAUACACCACUGACGGACCACAAAGGGACUGGAUGCUCGGCCCAGUUUGUUUUCAAUGUAAUAAAAUUUAACACUUAGAUUUAACCCCACAAAAUGAUCAUUAUGAUUUAUUAAAAAUCAUAACUAUUUUUACUUGAAGUUUGCUUUUACAAACCUUAAUAUUUAGUUGUAAAUCAGGAAAAUACAAAUGAAAAACAUGAAUUUUUUUUUUAUGUAUAUUUUUAUAUCAAAAUCAAUUGUUUUUAAUUUUAAAUUUUUUUAAUAAAAGUUUGAAAAGUUGAAAUAUACCUGUAAUAUUUAAGUAUCCUGAGGGAUGAGGCGACUCAAUCCGUGGUCGUUUCAGAAUUUUGCUACACGUAAAUAGAAAACAAACCAAUCUGCGCAUUUCAUAAUCGUCAAAAAUUCAAUUAUUUUGAUAAAACUAAAGACAACUAUUACGAACCUGCUAAUACCUCUGUUCCUCUCUUCAAUAUACAUAAAUCCAUGGAUCGAUGGAGAUCAUCAUAAAGACAUUCAUCGAACCUUGAGUCACCAUUGAACCUUGACCCUCCACCCUGAAACUAAAGCUUAAUCAAGUACAAAUCUUCAUCAUCCAAGACUACAGAAUACACAAAAUCAUACACUCAGUUCAAAACAAAGAGAUGAAUCACAAAGGCUAACAUGUUUAAUGAACUAAAAAGUACACAAAAUGGCUUGCAUUUACACACCUAUGAGAUUCAGUUGUGUAUGUUGCAGACAGGUAAUAAUAAGUCUAUAUGUGGUCGAGAAGCAACAUGAGCUCAGUAGUAAUAAAAUAAAACAAUGCCAAUGGAAACUCGCAAAUCAAAUCAGUAUACCUCAGGUUAUGAAUGUAGUAAUGCUGAUGCUACAUGAUCAUCAAAUCUUCAUGAUAAUAGAGAACAACAUCAAUGACCAGUAAAGACAAUGUAUAUAUACUAAUAACCAAAAUCAAAAACAAGAGAACAACAACAACAGAAAAGUAGAAACGAAUAGCUCACCAAGAACAAGCAUACCUCCUCCUAUCAAAAGGCCUGAAAAACCAUAUAAGAAGGGAUAUAUAAAGGAGACAGAGAGAACCACGAAUACUCAUUACAAAACCAAAGAGAGGAAUACUAACCAAAUACGUAAAUCAUAAGUCCAACAUUGGCUUGCAUCAAUCGUAUACUCUUAUGAGAUUCAGUUCUGUAUGUAGCAGACAUAAAAGUUCUCAACUUGUAAGAGACAAGACAUAAAAAACCAGACCAUAUGCAGACAGAGGAACAAGAAGAGAUAGAGCGGUACCUUGAAGAGUUGAAGGGAAAAGAGGAAGCAAGAGCACCACCAUGAGGACGAACCAGAGGUUAGAUAACACGAACCAGAAGAAGAGGAACCAAAAGCAGAGGUUAGAUGCCAAAGACGAACCAAAAGCCUGUAUGUAGCAAACAUAAAAGUUCUCAACUUGUAAGAGACAAGACAUAAAAAACCAGACCAUAUGCAGACAGAGGAACAAGAAGAGAUAGAGCUGUACCUUGAAGAGUUGAAUGGAAAAGAGGAAGCAAGAGCACCACCAUGAGGACGAAGCAGAGGAAGUAGAACCAAAAGCCUCGAUCAUCACCACCAUGUCUCAAGCCACAGCAUUCUAUGAUCAUCAACCAGAAGAAGAGGAACCAAAAGCAGAGGUUAGAUCGCCACCACGUUUCAAGCCUCAGCACCCUAUGAUCGCCGUGUUGCAUAUCUCGAUCAUCAACGAGAGGAAAGCUAUAAAGUUUAAAGCUUUUUCACCGAAGAUGAAUCAGAGAAUCGAAGGAGAAGAGGGAACGAACUAAAGAGAUUGAUUUGUAGGGUUUAGAAAGAAGAAGAAGAAGAAAGAACGGAGAAGAAGAAGAGAUAGAGCGUUACCGUAAAGGGAAAAGAGGAAGCAAGAGCACCACCAUGAGGACGAAGCAGAGGUUAGAUCCCAAAGACGAACCAGAAGAAGAGGAACCAAAAGCCUCGAUCAUCGCCACCAUGUCUCAAGCCUCAGCAUUCUAUGAUCGCCAUGUUUGCAUAUCUCGAUCAUCAAACCAAAUCUCACAACAACAAGAGAAAAGCUAUAAAGGUAGAAGCUUUACACCAGCGUUGAAUCAGAGAAUCGAAGGCGAAGAUGGAUAUGCUUUCUUGUUCGACAAGAGAGAACGAAUCAACCUGUAGGGUUUCGUAGAAGAAGAAGAAGAAGAAGAAGAAAGACCGGAGAAGAAGAAGUGAGAAACAGAGAAUUUUGAUUUCUCUAUCAAAAGGAAGAGCGGAGAAGAAGCGUUUGAGUUGAGAGAAUUAAAGAGUAAAUUUUUAAUAUUUAUAAGCGAAAUUAAUUAAGAGGUUAAUGGAGGUGUUCAAUAGCUCUCAGAACGUAAUGAGACUAUGAGAACACUAAAGGGAAAAUGCUUGACUCGUAUUAUGGUAUUAGAGGUACUAGACAAGAAACAUAGAUGACACUUAUGUCCUGUGAGUUUUGUGUAUAGAUAGAUAUUGGUUAGUGUUGUUACAGUUAAGUGGUAGACAUUGAACCUUUGUGAAGUUUGCUGGUUGUGCAACAGUUUUUUUUAUCUAAGAAGAAUAUGAGGACUUAGGUAGAAAUAUGGAAAUGGGGUUAUUGAAUUCUUACUUGGAGGUUGGUGACUGUGAUGCAAAGUGCAAAGCACUGAGAGUUCAUUGGAAGAGUUUAAGAGAACCAGAGGAAAAUGCUCGAGUUAAUAGACUUAACAGAACCAUGGGGCAUGGACAUUAGAUAAAUGAUUGGUAAUCACUGGUUUAGCUAUAUUGGUUAGUGUUUGUGUUUAUGUGCUUGAUUGAUUCAAGAACUUACCAGAGUUGAAGAGUUGGGUGGUGAGAAAAGAGAUACAUGACGGAGAAGCCCUGGUUUAUUUAUAUUGGUUAGUGUCUGUGUUCAUGUGUGUUUGCCAGCUAAGUAAGUCUAACUUGUUAGAGUUGAAUACUUGGGUUGGUAAGAGAAGUUCUCGUGUUCCUGUGUUUUGUCACUGAAAUAUUAGAGUUUCUAUGACCUAAUGAAUCCAACCAAUGGAAGACACAGAUGGUGGAUAACAGCAAAUGCCACUAGUGGUAUAAGAGCCAAGAACAUUGUGCAUUGUCUGCACCCAGCGCCCGAUACAGGCAAUUGAAAAGAUCGCCAAGAGGAUCCUUAAAGCUGUUUUGAGAAUCAUUUUAUCAAAGAAAGUAGGAUUUUGUUCGCAUUCCUCACUAUUAGUCUUUCUAUUUUGUUGAUAAUUUGACAGUAACUAUCGACUUAGUUUAGUAUCCUCUCAGAUAGUAUAUGUGUGAUAUGAUACCAAAGUUAUGCGAAACAAAGAUUUUUAUACAGAAUUCAGUGUCUGCGAUAAAUAGUAACCUCACUAGUUCAAACGAAAAUCGCGGAUAAACAAAUUUUGGAUGAAUGAUAACAGCAGAAUCAUUCCUAUAUCAUUCACAAUCUUAACACCAACAUUGUCUUCGACUCAUCAAAGCAUCGCUAAGCUCCAGACAGGCCAAGAAAGAAAAAGAGAAAAACAGAUGGACUAGCACGCAUUCAUUACUCCAACUUCUCGAGUUCUGACAUCCUUUCGAUGAUCGCCUGCAAGUAAAAAAUUGUUCCCAGCAUUUAAAGGUUUAGUGGUUGAGCAAAGGAAUGUGUUAGUGCAAGAGGAAAGCUUGAAACCAAAAUUUAUACCCUUUUGCUUGUUUCUUGGAGCUCCCCAGCAAGAAUGAAUUCAUCGAGUAUCAGAUACACCUUUUAAUUGAAAUCACAGAGAAUUAGUAGCAAAUAUUAGAGUACAAACACAGAUCAUAUCUAAACACACAGAAGCAUCCACAUAGUUAGACACAAAUGGGAAAUGCUUUUGAGAAUGCUGCAGAUAUAUAUUUAUCUAACAGGUCAUGUUGGUCAGCUUAGAAUUGGGACAAAUACAAAGAGAAAAGAAUGAAACUAGCUUUUAAUUUUAGCAAACACAAGCUUUCAUUUGAUAGACCCUUAGAAUCUUCAUGGAUAAAAAUCUUCAGAUUCCCCUUAAAAACAUUUACACUAAACUUAUUUAAAGCUCCUAAGUAGAGAAAUGAUGAAGCAAAAAUCCCAGGUUUAAUCGAAAUCAGUGGUUAUACAGCAUCAUAAGCUAAACUUUAAGGGUUACAGGAUCCAAAGAAGCAGUUUUUGAGAACUAAAUAUAAAAAGAGUAAGAGCAACAAAAGAGGUUUGGUAACUUGUGGAAAUUAAACACCAAAUCUAGCUCACAGACAUUGCUGAAGAAAUGGUCCAAGAUCUCCACAAACAAAUGGAUACUCUCCAGGUAAGCCAACUCAUUGUCGGUUAUAUCCACGCACACAGAGAAAAACAAUCCAGCAUAACGCCUGUAUAUCACCUUGUGUGUUCUAAACUGAAAAUAGUUGCAGAAAACAGUUUUAUCAUUCUAGCUCACAGAACAAUAUUGGUUUCUUAAUCACAUUUUCAUGUCUCAUAAGACACAUAUCUACUUCUCUAUACAUAUAUUGAAUGAGUUGGGUUACUUCUACCUCAGCUUAUAAUAUCUCAAACAACAACUAAUACCUCAACCAGAGAAAAUUCGCAGAUUCGAAUUCGACAGAGCAAUGCUCCUAUACUGUGCUAGUAUCAACAGCCCUAAAUCUCAUAUACAAAACCUGAAUUAAGAAUCAUAUGCAUUCCUACAAUCUGGAGAACCCUAAUCUCAAUUGAGACUUUUAUGUUUAAGAUUGAAAACUUUUAAACCAAAAUCGGCUUUGUUGGUUUAAACCGAUCUUUCUAGAAUUUUAAGUUUUCGAUUUUGAACCAAACAUACGUAAAAAAGUCCGUCGAAAAUACAACUCCUUACUUGAAAUCCUACCGUUUUUGUUCAGCCUCCAUAACUCCAUAGAGAGAAAAACGAUUAUCUUAGCUUCUAUCAUGAUUACAAAUUUAUAUUUGAAUACAUUACUAUGUGUUCAGUUCAUCAUCUUAUAAUUUUUCUAUCAUGUUCGUGUAGUGCUUAUUUAGAAAGCAAGAUAAACAAUUCCUACAGCUUUGGCUAACCUUACUUCACCUUUUGAAUCAGUUAUAUUCUCUAAGUUUAUUUGUUUUAUUUUCAUUGGAAUAACUUUCUAAUUAUUACGUUUGCUAAUUAUUGAACAUGAUCUUAUAAAAGUCGCUACGUUGGGCUUGGAAAACAUGGAAAUAUCCUGUAAACUUAAAAUAUCAUGUGGCGCCAAUAAAUAAUUAUAUAAGUAUGUAGCUUGGAAAUCAUCAACAACUCUCAUUGAAUAACACAAAUCAGUAUGAAAGAGUUCGAUGUUAGGUCCGGUUUGUUUUCAACAUAUUUAAACUUUCAAAUUUUGUAUGUUAUAACUUUUCAAAAUUUGUAUGUUAUAACUUUUCAAAAUCAAAAAUUUACUUAAAAGUUAUAACUUUACUUAAAAUAUAAAAAACCUUAAACCUAAGCGUUAAAUUUUUUACAAUACGUGAUAGCAUGUUGAACUUACACACCACUGACGGACCAUAAAGGGACUGGAUGCUCGGCCCGAUUUGUUUUCAACGUAUUAAAAUUUAACACUUAGAUUCAACCAAAAAAAGAUCAUAUUUACUUAUUAAAAAUUAAAACUAUUUUUACUUGAAAUUUGAAUUAAAAAACCUUGAUAUUUUUAGUUGUAAAACAGGAAAAUAGAAAUGUAAUUCAUAAAAUAUUUUUUUCUUUAUGUAUCUUUUUAUAUCGAAAUCAAUUUUUCUUAAUUUAUUUAAUUUUUUAAAAGUUAGAAAAGUUGAGAUAUUACCUGUGAUAUUUAAGAAUCCUGAAGGCUACAGUGACUCAGACGGUGGUCGUUUCUGAAUUUUGCUAAUCGUAAUACAAAAACAAACCCAUCAGCGCAUUUCAUAAUUGUCAAAAACUCAAAUUACUUUGAUAAAACUAAAGACAACUAUCACGAACCUGCUUAUAAAUAUUCUCCUCUUCAGUAAUGGUCUCUAAUGACUGAAGAAAACAGAGGAUCAAUGGAGCUCAUCAUAAAGACAUUCAUCGAGCCUUGAGUCACCGUCGAACCUUCUCCACCCUGAAACAAAAGCAUAACAUUCAGUUCAAAACAAAGAGAUGAAUGAUAAAUAUGAUACGUGAAUCACAAGGCUAUAACAUGUUUGAUGAUGAACUAAAAAGUACACAAAAUGGCUUGCAUUUGCAUCAAUCCAAAAUCGUAUAUGCAUUUACACACACCUAUGAGAUUCAGUUCUUUAAGUUGCAGAGAGGUAGUAAUUAUUCUAUAUGUGGUCGAGAAGCAACAUGAGCUCAGUAGUAAUAAAAUAAAACAAUGUCAAUGGAAACUCGCAAAUCAAAUCAGUAUACCUCAGGUUAUGAAUGUAGUAAUGCUGAUACUACAUGAUCCUUCUUCUUUCUUGAUAAUUGUGAGGAAGUCCUCUUGAUCCAAAUCUUUAUGAACUAUAGAAAAACCUGCAAAGAAGAGAACAACAACAGAGAAGAACAUCAAUGACCAGCAAAGACAAUAUAUAUAUACUAGAAACUAAUAGGUCUGAAACAAACAAACCUCCUCCUAUCAAAAGGUCUGAAACUUCCUUGUCUACAGAUCAAUGGAUUUGUCAGAAAACCAUAGCUAACACUGUAACGCUCACAUACAAAUACAUAUAACUCUAACAGUUAAGCAACAGAGGAAUUCUAACACAGAAAUACACAAAAAAUCAUAUAAGAAGGAGACAGAGAGAACCACAAAUACUCAUUACAAAACCAAAGAGAGUAAUACGUGAAUCAUCAUAAGGCAAACAUUGGCUUCCAGAUUCAAUGAAGACACAAAUCGAAUCAAAACAACUGUAAUUCCAAAAGGCAAAAGAAUGAUGAUUGCUACAUAAUAAACUCCUAAAAAUUGGAUAAAAGUUCUCAACUUCUAAGACACAAGACCAUAUCCAGCACAGAGGAACAAGAAGAGAUAGAGCUGUACCUUGAAGGGUAAAGAGGAAGCAAGAGCACCACCAUGAGGACGAAGCAGAGGUUAGAUAGAUCCCAAAAACGAACCAGAAGAAGAGAGAUCAAAAGCCUCGAUCAUCACAACCAUGUCUCAAGCCUCAGCAUUCUAUGAUCGCCACUACGUCUCAAGCCUCAGCAUUCUAUGAUAGUUCUCAACUUCUAAGACACAAGACAUCUAAGACACAAGACACAAGACAUCUAACUCCUAAAAAUUGGAUAAAAGUUCUCAACUUGUAAGAGACAAGACAUCAACAACAAGACCAUAUGCAGACAGAGGAACAAGAAGAGAUAGAACGGUACCUUGAAGGUAAAAGAGGAAGCAAGUGCACCACCAUUAGGAGGAAGCAAAAGCAGAGGUUAGAUAGAUCCCAACACGAACCAGAAGAAGAGGAACCAAAAGCAGAGGUUAGAUCCCAAAGAGGAACCAAAAGCAGAGGUUAGAUCCCAAAGACGAACCAGAAGAAGAGGAACCAAAAGCAGAGGUUAGAUCCCAAAGACGAACCAGAAGGAGACGAACCAAAAGUCUGGAUCAUCGCCACCAUGUCUCAAGCCUCAGCAUUCUAUGAUCGCCCUGUUUGCAUAUCUCGAUCAUCAAACCGAAUCUCACAACAACAAAUUAACCAGAGAAAAGCUAUAAAGGUAGAAGCUUUACACCAAC
RNAcentral lists this long non-coding RNA (44525 nucleotides) under Capsella rubella. RNAcentral's name for it is "long non-coding RNA (CRUB_LNC005119)". The record is from RNAcentral. Lineage: Eukaryota; Viridiplantae; Streptophyta; Magnoliopsida; Brassicales; Brassicaceae.